Molecule: long non-coding RNA, 71702 nt
Filed under: Setaria viridis
Lineage: Eukaryota; Viridiplantae; Streptophyta; Magnoliopsida; Poales; Poaceae
Description: long non-coding RNA (SVIR_LNC001410)
Source: RNAcentral
UUUUUUCUUCUAAAAUGUAUUUUGAUCUAUUAAAUGAUCUCAAAUGUAAAAGUUGUCAAUUACAAAGGUUAAUGUCUCGUUGAGCUCUACAAUUCUGAUAUAAAGUUUAUAUUUAUCUGAGAUAAAUUAUAAAAGUUUGUAUUAAAAAAAUACAUUCCCUAAACACAUUCACAUAUACUCAUGCAUUCAACUACUUCAAAAGUGUUAGGUACUACAUGACAUAAUUGAUUCAAACUACAUAUUACAUAAGUUAGAUACACUCAAACUAGCUAUAUAUUAUGAGGUAACAAUUCUUGAUUCUCCGUCCUUGCGUGCCCAGGGCAUUUCAUCUUUCUUUAUACUUUCUUCUAAAAUCAUUAUCUUCUGUGGUAGGUUUGUGAAGAGGUUCGUUCCAUUGUACUGAUUAUAUUCUUCAACAUCUUCAACACCAUCAACUCCUCAUUGUACUGAUUAUAUUCUUCAACAUCUUCAACAUCAUCAACUCCUAAUAUUUCUUGUUUUCCAGGGACUACAACGUGCUUUGUCUUUUUUGCAGGAUCAACAACAUACAUAACCUGUGUGACCUGUGAAGCAAGUACCCAAGGGUCAUCUUUGUAACCAACAUUGUUGAGAUCAACAAUUGUGAUCCCAUAGUCGUCCACUUCAACACCUUUUGGGUGUUUGAUCCAAUGGCACCGAAAGACCCGGAUCUGUAUAUUGGAACCAUAGUGGACUUCCCAUAUAGCAUCUAUGAUGCCAUAAUAUGUGGUACUUUGGCUGGUUCUCUCGUCUAAGGCCUCAAGAUGAACACCAUUGUUCUGAGACAAAGUCUUCUUGUCUUUCAUGGUAGUAUAAAAUAGAUAUCCAUUAAUAUCAUAACCUUUCCAUGAUGUGACCUGGCUAGACCAGACAGUUGUCAAUCUUUUGAUCUUUUGAUCUUUCAUGGUUUCCCCAUCUAGUAGAUUUAGGUCCUUCAACCAUGUGGUCAAACAACUGGCACACAUGCCUUACUCUCAUCUAGUGUCAAGUUGUAGCUAGCCGGGGGUAGUUCAUAUCUUCUAUUCCCCUUACCGAAUAGGUGAAGGUCUUAUCUUAUGUUCAUGGCUACCAAGUGUUGUCAUGACUUCAGGAUAUCAUUUGUCUUGGCUGAUGUCUCCAGGAAGAGAUCAAUUGUGUUACUAAACAUAUCUUUUUCAAGUGCAUACCAUCGAUGGCAUGACGGACCUCAAGGUCCGACCAAUAUGGCAAGUACUUGUAGAAGAUCGACAGCUUCUUUGAUGGCACACCAUCGAUAGGUGGCUUAUCUCUAUUUCUCUUCUUCUUAUCUUUUGUCAUCUUCCCAUAAGGAACCUGGAUGGUCCUGACCAUGUUAAAAACAUAGUGCCCAUCUCAUUUUUCUAGAGCAGAUUCUAGGUCGGGCUUGGCGCUAAAAAAAUUAUAGAACUUCUUACUUCGGUACAUGUGUCCUUCCACCAAGAAGCGUUUGUACCCAAGGUAAACUACCUUUCUAGAACCUUCUAGGAAAGACCAUAUGGUGUCAUCGAUGCACACCGUGCAUCCUGUCUUACCUUUCACUUGUCCUGACAAGACAAACAAUGCUUGGUAAUGAUUGAUGGUGAUGAAGAUCAUGGCUCUUAGAUUAAAUUCCUGCCGUGUAAAACCUUCAAUAAUGUUGAUACCAUUCUUCCAUAAAGUUUCCAUCUCUUGCAUCAAAGGCUCAAGAAAAAUAUCUAUAUCAAUCCCAGGAUGCUUUGGUCCCUGUAUAAGGAUGGAUAGCAAAAGAUACUUUCUCUUUUAGCACAACCAUGUUGGCAGGUUGUACAUCAUAAAGAUCACUAGCCAUGUGCUGUGAGUGCUGGUCCUUUCACCAAAUGGAUUCAUUCCAUCUAUACUUAGUGCAAAUCUAACAUUUCUUAUAUCAUUUCCAUAUUCUGGAUACCGCUCAUCGAACUUCUUCCACUGGUAGGCAUCAGAUGGAUGUCGAAGCUUUUCAUCACCCUUCCUACGCUUAUCUGAAUCCCACCAUUGCAUUAGUUCAGCAUCCUUUGGGUUUGAGAAGAAAUGCCAAAGGCGAUCGGCAACAGGGAGGUACCACAUGACCAAGGGGCGGGUGACAGCACCAACCGCCCUUGGAAAUAGCCCCCAUUUUCCAUCACCCGCCCGUACAAAUGGUUCUCCAAGGGCGGGCCACAUCGCCCCCUCCCCCCCUCCCCCCCCCCCCCCCCCCCCGUUUUGUAGGUGUGCGUGGCAAUUUUGCCCGCCGUUAGAAAAAAAACGGGGCACCCUACAAAUCGUUUUUUAAGUAGUGACAUGCUCUAAGAAGAUGUGGGCUGACCAACACGGUGGACUCUGAAGGAAGACAUACCCCCGGUCCAAUACGUGAAGCAAAACAAGCCCAAAAGACCCAAUCAUUUUGGUUACUCUUACUCAUCUAUGUUCUUAACAAUGCAAAACAUUAAGGAAGUAGACCAGCAGAGGCCUGCCCAAUACAUCCUUAAUUGACACGUGGCUAGAAGCAUGAGGUUCCAGUUCAGAUGAAAUAAUAUAUUGGUGAUUUUGUUGUGUGAUUCUCCAUGGUUUAAUAGUACGUGUUUCUCGUCUGUUGUUUGAGCCUUUAUGAUGUUUAUGACAACCAAUAGUUCUGUAGCAAAAGAAAGCAUCCAGGGAUUGUGCUCAGUCACGUUUUUUUCCCUCCAGUUAGCACCGCUAGGGAACUUGGUAUUAGUCCCGGUUGGAAGGUGCAUAUGUCCCGAAAAACGAUCCGCGAUUAAUCAGUCGAGAUAAAAGGGGAGGUCUUUGUCCUAGGUCCCUCAACCGGGAUAUAAGACCUCCAUUUAGUCCCGGUUGGUAAUACCAAUCGGGAUAAAAUGAUCGCCACGCCAGGGGCUGCCUCCCGCCCCUUUUAUCCCGGUUGGUAAUACCAACUGGCACUAAAUAGUUUUGCAAAAAAAUUGCAAAAAUAAAAAAUAUCAGGGGAUCCCUGGACGCGCCCACACGUCACAAGUCACAUGAUUUUUCACGAAAAAUAUGCGCAUGCACGGUCCAUGGGAUUCGAACCCAUGACCUCAAGCCUCGCGCGUAGCUUCCUUGCCAUCCCACCUACACACCACAUCUAUCUAUAUAGGGGAUGCUAUCCUUUUGUAUUAACUCAUGGAGGGUCCAUUGCAAAUACCAACCGGGAGUAAAUUCUAGCCUACCAUGGCGCACCCCCUUUUCUCCCGAGCCUGAAUUAAACCGGGACUAAAGAGGAGGAUCGAAAGUCAGUUCUCUAGUAGUGCGGACAAAGACAUUAUUUCAAGGGAGGGGUCCUCGUAAGGUUGGUCGAUCAAUUUUGUCGUGAGCCAUAUACCUUUUAUAAACAUAUAGAGAUUACUACAGUUGCAUGCUAUAUAUUUGGAUAUCAACAAGGUCUCUGGCCAUAGUAUUCAGGAGCGCCCUGUGGCGUACCAAGAAAGCGAGCACGACGGGGGCUCAUUUAUAUUGGCAACGCUAGAAGGGUUUGGGGGAUUGUUACACAGCAGCAGACAGAACUCGACGCCUUUACUAAUUUAAAUGCUUUGGACCAAGGUUUAUAAAGGUUGUUGCUGGGACACGGGCUGCAGCCCCAGCGCCCCCCCCCCCCCCCCCCCCAACACACACACACACAAAAAAAAAACUGUGUUGCACCAACCACCAUGUUGAUAUGUUAGUGUUUCACACAGAGCUUGCUUCUAUUCGAACAUAGAGCAUGCAUGAUCCCCCUACCAGGUUUAUCUUGCUAGUAGGAAAAGGAGGCAUCUGGAGCUCAUGUCCAAGUUCCAACUGGUGAUAUAGCGUUCAAUGUUUUGGUUGAGCAGAAUCUACCUUGAUCUUUGCAGUGCCGGCGCCGGUGGCGGCUCCUGUGAGGUUGAGCGGCGCUUAGCCGCUACUGAGGCAGCUAUGAAACACCAAUUCACCAUGCUCUGACGUGGUCCGCCUCUAGAGCUACUGUCGAAGGUUUUGUUCCUUACACUGGAGUCUGGACAGUAGAGCUCCUUGUCUGGACACAUAUGCAGAGACUAGAGAGCAGGGGAUAUAGCGAGCACAAGACGCUAGCUAGCUUACUAUGAUGUCUCGUGGAUUCCACAUUGUUUCUCUGGUAUGCGGUAUUUUGCAGUUUCAGAAGGCAAAUAGACGUGCUUGCACAGGUGCCAUGAUACAUCUGUUUCCGUUCAACUAUUGUCCACAUUUCACAGAUGUAUUCUUCAUUUCCAUCUUCAGCCACAUAAGACAUAAAUACAACUAUUGCUUUCAUCUUUUCUGAACAAAAAAACAUUGAGGGUCGUUGGUCAGUGUAGUAAUUUCCAGAUGAAUAAAAGCAAAAAAAAAAACGUGGUAGGCGAGUAACAUGUCCUAUGGUAUAUCCAUAAAGAUAUACUAACCCGUGGCAAACAACAAGAAGGGUCCAUGUUUAUUGGAGUGGAUUUUCCAUAUAUUUUUGGUAGCACGUUUUUCCAAUUAUUGAACUUUGAGUGUAUGAACAAAAUAAAAACAACUAAUGGCGCCAUUGUAGCAAUGGAAACAUUGAAUCGCUUUCCUUUUUGCACGUGUUACCAGUUAGAUAUGAGUUAACAUGACUAUACUGCAAAGCAGUGACCUUGCAAGAAUACAUCAUGCUUCUACCAUUUAUAUAGACAUUAGACAGGGUCAAGUCCCAGGCCGUGGUUUUUCUGUUGCAUCCUGGUCUCAACCACGAAUGGAUUUGUUUGCCAGAGUGAUAGCGCCACAAAAAUAGAGGAGAAUAUGAGCAAGAAAUGCCACAGUCUAUUUGGGUUGUAGAAUCACAUAGGAAAAGGAGGCAUCGGAAACUUAUGUCCAAGUUCCAAAGGUAUUAGUUGAGCUUAAAAGAUGCAUGCUGCACAAAAAGAACAACAAGGACGGGUAGCAGAGUUCAAGUGAUCCUCCGUUGACCACGGUUUUAGAGGUAGGGAUGAAUCUGUUGGCAGGCAGCCUCCUCCAGCUUCCUCCUCUAACUCACCAUUGCUGGAGCAGGUGGCCAGAAGCCUGGCUACUCCAAGGUCAGCAGAGCUGGGGUGAGGACAGGCAUAGCUGGAUUGUAGAAUCAUAUUUUUUUAGAUAAUGGAAAAAAUUCCAGCUUCAAACCUCUCAAAAGAGAGGCAUGGACCGCUAAAAUUACAAGCACACUGUGUUUAGCAUCAUUGACCAAUUCGCAAAAAGAAAGGCCAUCCAUAGGACGCGAAGAAAUGCAUAGCUCUAGACUCCAGAAGUUGGCAUGUCUUGACAAAAUGUACCCUCCGGUCACCAAUGUGCUGCAACAGAGCCCGAAACCAUAGUAGUGUGUCCCCCUGAAUAGAACCUGCAAAAAAACUUUUAGUCUGCAACGAUUAAAUACAGUAUAAUUUCUUGUGAGCUAAAUUGUCCAACAAAUAGCUGCAGCUCCUAUAAAUAACAUUAAAUUGUGCUUGCGGCCCCCCUGCUUAGACCAGCUAUUAAAAAGAUGUUCUAUGCUUUUAGGUGGAGGUAUACCUAACACAAUGUGAAUUGCACGCUAUAAAAUUUUUGCAUAAUGAUACUCAAAAAAUAAGUGAUGGAUAGUUUCUAGCAUGCUAUAGAAGCAACAAGUUUUAUUACCAUUCCAAUUCCUCCUAGCUAAAUUAUCUUUUGUUAGGAUCACUCCUCUUUUAAGAUACCACAAAAAUAUUUUUAUUUUGAGAGGAAUCUUCAUAUGCCAAAUUUCUUGCGUAGCUUUAAUACCGUUGUAGGCUGGGUGCCUAUACAUUGAAUUAACUGUGAAAGCUCCGUUCUUCUGUAAGCUCCACACAAAAGAAUCCAAUCCCUCAAUUAGAUUAAUAUGUGCAAGUCUUGCAACAAGGCUAUACCACUCAAAUAACUUGUACCCAACUAUAGCUCUCCUAAAGGAGACAUUGAGUGGGCUCAAACUAAGUACCUCUGCCACAAUUGCAUUUUUUUCGUACUAUAUUAAACAAAUUAGGGUACUGUACUUUCAGCUUUUGGGUACCUAACCAUUUAUCUUCCAAAAAUCUAAUUUGGUUGCCGCUAACUAGCUUGAACCUUCCUAGAUUGAGGAAUUCAUCUUUUACCCCUAUUUAGCUUGACCAAAAAUGUGAAUCCCCUGCUCUUUUUACUUGUCUGGGAUAAGGUUUUAUUCCUCAUAUACUUAUUUCGAGGCAAAUCUUACCACAAACCUUCUUCAUUACAUAACUUAAACAAUCACUUGCUUAGCAAGCAUUUGUUUUGUACAUCUAGAUCUUGAACCCCUAUCCCCCCUGUUCUUUUGGUUGACAUAGUACGUUCCAUCUGACCAAUCUAUAUUUCUUUUUGUGUUGGUCAUUCUGCCAAAAGAAUCUCGACAUAUAAUAUUCAAUUUUUCUAAGGACUCCCCUUGGGACCUCAAAAAAAGAGAGCAUAAACAUAGGCAAACUAGAGAGAACUAAGUUUAUCAAGACUAAACGUCCUCCCACUGAUAGGAGUUUUCCUUUCCACCCACUUAGUUUUUUUUUUCUAUUCUAUCCUCUAUUGCCUUCCAAUCUUUGUUUGACAACUUUCUAUAAUGCAUUGGUAUCCCCAAAUAGUGAAAUGGGUAAGAACCUAAUUUUUAACCGAAAAGUUGUGAAUAUUGAGUUUCAUAGUUUCUUGCAUCCCCAAAGCCAAAAAUUUCACUUUUGUGCUGAUAGCUGUUCAAAGGCACAAAGGAGAAGCUUAAUUUUCUUUGCUUGUUUAAUAUCAUGGUCCAUAAAAAUAACUGUAUCAUCUGCAUAUUGGAGAAUCGACAAACCACCAUUGAUUAAAUGUGGUACUACCCCUUUCAACUGACCAUCCUCUUUGGCUCUAGCCACGAUGAUUGCCAAUAUAUCAACAAUGAUGUUGAAAAGUAUUGGAGAUAAAGGAUCACCUUGCCUAAGUCCCUUCUUUGUUUGGAAGUAUCUUCCCAGUCGUCACCUUUUUCCCCACAUUGCCCCCUUGUACAAAUGAUUUAACCCAUUCACUCCACUUUAGGUCAAAACCCUUUAUUCUAAGUGACUGCUGCAAAAAUUACCAUUUCACUUUGUCAUAAGCUUUUUCAAAGUCUAUUUUAAAAAAUCACACCAUUUUGUUUUUUGUGUGAAGCUCAUGUAUUAUUUCAUGGAGGAUCACUGUCCCUUCCAUAAUGUUCCUUCCAGGCAAAAAUGUUGUUUGAGUGGGUUUAAUGAUUCUUUGGGCGACUUUCACAACUCUGUUAGUGGCUACUUUGGUAAAAAAAUUGAAGCUAACAUUCAACAAACAGAUGGGUCUAUAUUGUUGAAUUUGCUUUGCAUCACUACUUUUAGGUAGUAGAAUAAUGUUCCAAAGUUGAGAGAGUGAAGAGGCAGUGUACCCCUAUGGAAUUCCUUAAAUAGAGCCAUCAAAUCUUCCUUUAUCACAUUUCAAAAAAAUUGAUAAAACUCUGGUGGGAAGUCAUCUGGGCUGGGAGCGGUGUUACUUUGCAUUUGAAAAAUAGCCUCUUUUAUCUCAUUUUUAGAAAAGGAUGCUACUAAAAGCUCAUUUACCUGUGGUGAAACAUGAGGAAUAUCGUCAUGGAGCGCCUCGUCGAUAGACACAAAGUUGUUGUCUGGUGGCCUGAACAACUUCUUAUAAUACUUGGUGAUAUACUUUUUAAGGUCAAUAUCACUGCAUAUUAGACCUUCCUCCUGUUCCAACGUUAAAAUACAAGUUUUUCUAUGCUUUCCAUUUGCCACUAACCGGAAAUAUUUUGUAUUCGCAUCACCUUCCAAUAAAUUUUUAACUUUAGCUCUUUGAUACCAUUUUAAUUCCUCUUUCCUCGAAAGCUCUGCUAAUCUAUUACUUAGUGUAUGCUUAAGAUUGAUUUCGUUGGCAUCUAAAGGUGCCACUUCCACCUUUAUGUUUAACUCAUUCAGUUUGUUCAAGAGAAUCUUUUUUUUUUAUUUUUUUAUGUACCACUAAUAUUUUUAGCCCAACCCCUCAAAUAUUGUCGCAGACGUCUAAUUUUUUCCUGCCACUAGGGUGUGUUUUCUUGUUGCACACUAUUCCAAACAUCACUCACCAUGUUAAAAAAGGCAUCACGUAGCAACCAGCCCAGCUGUGGGUUGUUUGGUGACUCAGCGUCACCUGUGUUCAUAAACAAUCAAGUGUGGUCGGAUAUCUCUCUAGUUAGUGCUUGAACUGUAGUACGUGGAAAUUUUAGUUCCCCUUCUGUGUAGGUCAAUGAUCUAUCUAGCUUUUCAAAAGUUUGUUCUUGAAGGUUAUUUGCCCACAUGAAUUGUCGCCCUGAAAUUUCCAAUUCUCUUAAAUUAAAAAGCAUUUGCUAUUGCAUUAAACAGAAAUGGCCACCCGUCAUUAUUAUUGGCAUUAUUCGUUUCAUGUGGUCCGAAAAAAAUAUUAAAGUCACCAUCUAUUAGAAUAGGUAAGGUUUCUUUAGUACAUAGGACUAGCUCGGUUAGAAAUGCCUCUUUGUACUGUUGUUGUGCCGCACCAUACGCAGACACCAGCACCCAUUGGAAGCCAUCUUGUUUGUUUCUUACAUUAAAUUUUACAAAGUAGUCACCCUCAAUUUCUCCGAUAUCAAAUGUUAGAAGGUUAACCCCAACUAGGAUGCCACCGGAUCUACCGUGAGGAGCUCUAUAGUGCUAUAAAAAGUCCUUCCCACCACAUAGGUUUUUGAGGAACUUUUCUGAGCAAUCCUUCCUCCCAGUUUCCGAUAGAGGAACAAAUUCUAAACUUUUCUCCUUAACUAGAUCAGAAAUAAACUUAAAUUUUUUUGGGUCCACUAACCCAUUACAAUUCCAAAAGAUUCCUUUCAUUAGGUACUCUUGCUGUGUUGUGAACCGCUGCUACUUUUCUUCUUCUUUUUAGCACUUGAUUUUUUCUUCCUAGGAACAGCCUGUAGAUCACAUAGAUCACUGCCAGUUCCCUCGCUUAAACCCUCGACCACAUCACCACAAAAUUGGUUCAGUGCAAGGAUAUUAAUUUCAUCAUCAGUGUCCCCCUCAUACUCUACGGAAGAAGCUAUCUUGUUUUCAAUAGAACUAUUCAACAUAGGUGCAACCUGUAACCUAUUGCGCUCAAUGUUAGAUUCCUAAUUGACUUACAAGUUCUAGAAGCUGAAGAGCCUAAACAAAUCCCCACAUGACUAAUAUUAUUAACCACUACCUCAUCAGAAAAAGAGAUGAAGGAAUCGAUCUGAGCAUUACCUUGUUUGUCGGUUUCCUCCAGAUUCUUGCGCGCUUUAAGUCUGGCAGCUUUCUCAAUUGAGUCUUGGUCAGCUGACACUGACAUCGCGCUUCUUUUACUCUUGCGAGUUGGAGUUGCUGUAGCAUUUGGUAUAGGUGUGGGAGAGGGAGAAUGCAAAGAGGUAGGCAACGAAGAAUUUUUACGAACUUGCUUACUUGCUGAAUUUCUGUUUGGAGUAGUGUGGGCUGGCUGCCGAUAAAAUGCCUCCGCCACCCAAGCUUUAGUGCUGUCCGCAACUCCAGUAGGCUUUAGAACCACUGUAUGCCGAACUUUGCUGGGAUCUGUACAACCAGAAAAGGCAGAAGCUGCAGCAGCCAUCUUGGUAGUCGUUGCACUCCCCUUACCAGUAGCACUUCCUUCUUCCCCCAACUCUUUUCCCCCUGGGUGAGCAUCUCCAUUAUUCUUUGCACUAUUUUCUUUGUUUUCCUCUUCUAGCUGCUAAUGUUUGUCUUUGUCGCCAUCUUCUUUUGGCUGCUCAUCCAUAUUAAUCAGCAGGGGAUUAGUUUCAUCCCCGUCCUUCUCCAUUCGGAAUUGUCAUCAUGUAAGCCGAAGCCCAGCCGACCAUGGCAUCAUAUUGCGUCGUUGUCGUGAUCAACGAAUGCGAAUGUCAAUGAUAUCAGUCGCUGGGAAGGCCACCUGCAUUGGUACCGCCAUCGUGGUUGCAGCUAAUGAACCCAGGCCUGUCUGUCACGGCAUUUUGGGUGGUGGAGACCGUCUCCUAGCAUGACAUGUGUUGUUUAGAGAGGAUCCAGCUAAUGGCAACGUAGAAAAGGAACUCUGAAUAUUUGUCCUUUUGCAGAUAUCAACAUUUGGGAGUGAGUUAACGAUGACUUUACUACAGGGCAGUGAUGUCUACAUAUUCUUGUUGGUGGAGAAGCAAUUCCGUGAGUCGUCAAAGCAUACAUUUAUAUAAAUAGAUACAUAUGACGCGUCUCUAUUCGUUAUUCUGUACGUGUUGUAUUCGGUAUUCUGUACGUGUUGUAGUCGGGUCUCAGAAACUAAGGGGGUGGAACACCCUGUUAAAGUUUAACACCUAUCACAUCGGAUGUUUGGAUACUAAUUAGGAGUACUAAACAUAAACUAAUUACAAAACUAAUUGCACAGAUGGAGUAUAAUUCGCGGACGAAUCUAUUAAGCCUAAUUAGUCUAUGAUUUGACAAUGUGGUGCUACAGUAGCCAUUUGCUAAUGAUGGAUUAAUUAGACUUAAUAGAUUCGUCUCGCGAAUUAGCACAAGAUACUGCAAUUAGUUUUAUAAUUAGCUCAUGUUUAGUCCUCCUAAUUAGUAUCCGAACACCUGAUGUGACACUGUUAAAGUUUAGCCCCUCGUAUCCAAACAGCCCCUAAGUCAGAUUUGUUUCCCAGACUGCUACAAAGAGAGAAAACGUAGAGGGAAUGUGAACAUCAAAUGUCACGAUCUAUUUUUGUUGUAGUAGAAUUAGGUUGGAAAAGGAGGCACCGGAAACUUAAGCCCAAACUGUGAGAGACGUACUCGAUCUUGAAUCGAUCAUCAGGCAUAAAAACUCGAAACACUAAAAUGUAGCACUGGAACCCCCAAGGCGUGAAUAGCAAAACAAGCCCGCGGAAGUUCCAAUAUUUUUUAUUACUCAUCUUCUUUAUACUUUGACCCAGCAGUAUAUAUAUAGUCAACAGCUGUUUCAUGUUCCUCCCUAAGAACUAUUUUUAUCUAAAAUUAGGCUGAUGUUGUCAAGCUAGGGGUACAUAAACACUUGUAGAUUAUUGAUUCUGCAAUUACAUCAUCCAAAUUUGCCUUCAGCAAAGCAUCAAGGAAGCAGACAUCCUUGACAUGCGGCUAUCAGAAUGAGAUUCAAGUGCAGUGAACGUUGAUUGGUGAGUUUUUUGUAGAUUACCCAUGAUUACUAAUGUGUUUUCGCUAUUGUCGAUCCUUCAGAAUAUUUAUGACAACCAAUAGUUCUAUAGCAAAAAAAAGUACCCAAAACGUUGUUCUCAACCACAUAUCGCUAAAUAGGAAAAGACUUCAUUUCAAUGCAGGGUCCUCGUAAGGUUGGUGGAUCAAUUAUAUCGUGAGCCACAUACCAUUUAUUUGAACGUAUACAUUACUACAACUUAUACCUGUAUAUUAUAUAUUUGGUCACAUGUUUUUUUAAUUGUUAAACAUUGAGAAUAUGAAUACAAGAAACAGCUAGUCACGCCAUAGCAAAGGAAAACAUUGAACCGUUUUCCUUUCUGCACAUGUUACCAGAUAGAUACCCCUCCGUUCCAACUUGGAGGUUGUUUUGAUUUUUGUAGAUUCAUCUCUACAAGUAAGGUUUCUUCCUAGGUUUUCGUACGUCAUGGUUAUUUUGCAAAAAAGUUCCUCAACUUUUAUGGAAUCAACCCGCAGUUUAAAUUCUGAAGAGAGGGAGGGCUCGGGUGGAAAAAGGAGGGGAGUGAGGGGGUUAAAGGGGAAAAAGCUUCUCCUUUCCUCAAAACAGAGAGGCGAAGGAGGGGAAUUGGGCGCAGGCGGCGGCUGGAGUAGGGCACCCUGCCACUGCCCGUGCUGCCCCGCGCGCGGCCUCGGUGGCGAGGUCGGUUGGGCAAUACGCAAGUACCAGAAGAGCACGGAGCUGCUGAUCUGCAAGCUCCCCUACCAGCACCUCAUCCGCGAGAUCGUGCAAGACUUCAAGACAAACCUGCGAUUCUAGUCCUCGGCCAUGGUGGCGCUGCAGGAGGCCACAGAGGCGUACCUCGUGGGGCUGUUCGAGGACACCAACCUCCGCGCAAUCCAUGCCAAGCGCAUCACCAUCAUGCCCAAGGACCUCCCACUACUGGAGAACUGAACUUCCAUCCACCCCUUUUGUCCCGGUUAAUAUUUAGCCCGUGACUAGUCCUGGAUCAAAAAUGAGACACCGAAAGGACACUGACGGGAGGGACUUUAGGCCCGGUUGAAAAGAUCUGAUAGCGAUGUCCCCUGCUUUCCGAUUGAAAAUUCCAACCAUGACAAAAGACCCCCUUUUGUCACGGUUGGUAAUUCCAACCGGGACAAAAGAUUUAUUCCCGGUUGAAAUUACCAACCAGGAUAAAUGGAGGAGUUUUUGUCCCGGUUAGAAUUUCCAACCGAGACAAAAGGAGAGUUUGAGCGCUAGAUUUCACGCUGCUCUCUCUCCACCUCUUCUUUAUUAUCCUCCCAGGCAGCUCCUCCCCAACAUUUAUCUUCUUCCUCUCCUCAUCCCCUCCACACCAGCGCUCCCCUCCUCCCUCUCCUCAUCCUCCUCCAGCUCCCUCCUGCCGUCACUGCCCCCUCCCCUUCCCCCUCUGCUCGCCCCUCACUGGCAGCGAGGAGCAGCAGCAGGGCGAGGUGUGGGGCAGUGGCUAGCGCGGGCGAUCAUGGCGGCGGGCGUGGGCGGCACGAGCGGCGGUCAGCACGGGGCGCGAACGAGCCGCAGCGCGAGCGGUGGCCAGAGCGGGGCCUGGACGAGUGGCGGUGCGGCACGGGCCGGCACCAGCGGCCGAGUGGCAGCGGUCGCGGUGGCCGGCGCGGGCCGCGGACGAGCGGCGGUGGGCGCGGGCGGCCGAGCAGCGGCGGUCACGGCGGUUGGCACGGGGAAGGUGGAGGCGGAGGCCGGGCGCGGGGGAGGUGGAACCGAACCUUGACGGGCGCGGGCGGAGGUCAGGCCGGCGGCCGGCCGGCCGGCGGGCGUGGGUUUUUUUAAUUUGUUUUCAAAAUUUUUUAGUCCUGGUUGGUAAUACCAACCGGGACUAAAGGAGGUCUUUAGUCCCAGGUCCGGGACUAAAGGACUCCCUUUUAUUUCGAAAAAUUUAUCCCGAAUGAUCUUUCGGUAAAUUUGAGGUCACCAACCGGGAUAAAAACCAAGGUUUCCAGUUGUGUCUAGGUCGCCUGCCGCGUCAGGGGCGAGAGGGCUUGAGCGCGUGUGAUGCUGCGUCUUCGUUGUAGUGCUAGAACUAGAUGGGUGGUUCGUUUCUUGCCGUGCUAUCUUGUAGUAAUGUUCUGAAUGUGUUGGUCUCACUUCAAUGGAAUGCGAUUGCAAGUUUCUGAAAUUUCUGAAUGGCUCUGUUCUCGUGAGAUAUGCUGUCCGUUCCAUGCCAUCUGUUGUGAUUAAAGUGUUGAGUUGCUGGAACGAAUAGAUCUGGUGUAGUCGCUUUUAGAAAUGUGGGCCUGCAGAAUUGAUUUUGUGUCAAAAAUGCUGUUGCAUAUCCCCCUUUUUGCUCUGAAGGCUAGAGUGUUGGAGAUGCCCAAGAGGGCCUGGCCCAAUUAGCAAGCUAAUCACCGGUCACGAAAGGAUUAACCUAAGGGCUAAUUGCUUCCUGGCUGCCGCACGCCAGGCUCUAGCUGCCGCCAAGCUCCUGCCGUAUGACUUGCCUCUCUGGUGCGCCGCCGCCGCCGCACGCACCUGCCUGGUGCACUGCUGCAGUUCCCCUCCCUGAUCAAAGGUUGAUCGCGGGGAUCUCAAGUACGUGCCGUUGAGUGCUAGCAUGCUUCGGUUCGUUGUCUCAUCCCAUACGUGUGGACUACCGUAGAGGUGUCGUUAGGUUGCACACUUCAUCAGAUCGUACAACUACCUCGACGUCGAUCGGAUCGACUACUCACGCUUCAUCAAGACUUCUGCUGUGACGCGCGAUGAGCGAAGGUAUAAUCUAAGAUCAUCUACUCGCAAGUGAUCCUGUUUACGCGUUUAUUUUAUUGUGUGCUAGAGAGUAGCAUGACGCGUUCCCUACCGCGUUUCCUAACAUAGAGCUGGUGCCCUCAAUUGCAGAAUCAAUGGCCUUAACUUUGCUCUUCAUUCUCAUGAGCUGCUGCUGCCGGUUGCUGCUUCAAAAACACAGAAAAGCAGUCCCUUCCUUAAUGAUUCUUGUCCAAAUCCAAACAUAAACUUGCCAAUCGCCUUUAAACAAAGAUGUACCUGGAUCAACAAGCUACAUGUGCUAGAUAGGGCUUUGGUUUCAUAGAUCGAAAGAUACAAGUCUCUGAACUUUGGGAAAAACACCAGUUACAUUGAACCUUUAGAAUUUGCUCCCGUCAGUUAUCUCCAAAGCACCGAAAGGCCACCUUUUCUUGAGCACAGAUCAUCCAAAUCUAAUGACAAACUCUCCAAGUGCCUUUAACCAAACUUGUAGAGGUACUAUAGGGCUGCAAGUUCUAGAUAGAACUUUGCUCAAAAGAUCUUUGGUUUGGAAGAUUGAGAGCUCUGACUUUCGGCUAGGAACUGAACAUUCCGGUUUCAAUUUCAGAAAUUUUCAAUGCACUUCUAACAGUCUAAAAUGCCCACCUUUCAAAUUUUGAGCUCCAUUUAAAAUAUUCAAACAUUAUUUCUUGUGAACAACAACUAGACACUAUAUCCUCGUAAACACAUAAUUAACCAAACACGCAUACCAAGAGAGCAUCAAACAAUAAAUAUUUUGGUUUAUUGUGUUCGAGAAAUGAAUAAUUAUUUCAGUAUAAGGAUAUAUGUUAACAGAAAUGCAAUAAAUAUAUAGUGAGAGAGAUAGAAAAAAACACCACGAGUUUUAAAAAUUAUUUCCUUCAACUCAAAUACCCAUUAAAUUAAAAUAUUUUUUUAUUCAAGCAAGAGAGAGCCUCGGAUCACCACCGACGGGGGCUCUUUAGUCCUGGUGGGUAAUAUCGACGGGACUAAAAAACCCCUUUAGUCCCGGUUGUAAAGGCUAGUGGCCCUCGGGAUGCUGCUCGCCUCGGCCGAGGGAGAGGGAGGAGGAGCUGGGGAGAGGGAGGAGAGAGAGAGGGAAGAGAGGAGGUGGGGGCCGGAGGGAGAAGGAGAGGAGGCUUGUGGGCGUUGGAAUUAAGGAGAGGAGGCUUGGGCGCUGGAAUUAAGCAGAGUGAGGAGAGAGGUGGCCAUCAGAGGCUGAUUUAACUCUCAUGCUUGAAUAAAAAAAUAUUUUAAUUUAAUGGGUAUUUGAGUUGAAGGAAAUUUAUUUUCAAUUAAAUGUGUAGACAUCCAAUAAGUGAAAUAAAAAUUUAGUGAUGGAAAUAAAAAAUGUCAUUAGUUUGAAAAACACAAUUGACCUUUUGCCGUAGCAACGUCACGUGCAUUUUGCUAGUAGAUAUUAUUAUGGACCUAAAUAUACAUUAUAUCUAGAUGCAUAAUAAUAUCUAUGAAUCUUAAAAAGCUAAAAUGACCUACAAUUGGGAACGGAGGGAGUAUUAGUUAACAUUGACUAUACUGCACGACAAUAACAAAUGGUUGGUGGACCAAUAAUUCUUUAGACAUAUCGACCUUACAAACAUACAUCAAGCUUUUACCAUUUAUAUGGACAUUAGAUUGGAACAAAUUGAUGCAAGGAACAUACAGUUUGAUUUAAGUACGAUGGAUUCAAUCCAUUCGGAGAGUUCAAUAGUGGUCAUAGCACUUGGCAUGUGACCUUAUGUAUGUUCAACCUUCCACCGUGGUUGUGCAUGAAGCGGAAGUUCAUUAUGAUGCCGAUAACUAUCCAAGGCCCAAAACAACCUGGCAACAACAUUGAUAUUUACCUAAGACCGUUGGUUGAUGAACUUCUACUAUUAUGGAAGGAAUAAGGUGUAUGUGUGUGGGACGAGGACAAAAAGGAGACAUUUAAUCUACGAGCAUUGUUGUUCAUAACCAUCAACGAUUGGCCAGCGCUUGGUAAUCUGUCCGGACAGUCAAACAAGGGAUUCCGAGCCUACACAUAUUGUUUAGAUGAUACUUGCAGCAUGUAUUAGAAGCACUGCAAGAAGGUCGUGUAUACGGGCCAUCAUCGAUUUCUUCCAGAUAAGCACGCUCUAAGAAAGAAAGGGAAGCAUUUUGAAGGGAAGGAAGAAGAAGGUAAUAAGCCCCUUUACCGUAAUGGUAAACGUAUAUUUUCUAUGAUAAAGGAUGUGAGGGUAGUCUUUGGUAAGGGCUCUGGUAGCCAACCAAUUCCGACCAAUGAGGACGGACAUGCACCCAUGUGGAAGAAGAAAUCUAUAUUUUGGGAGCUAUAUUGUUGGGAAGUCCUUGAGGUCCGUAAUGCAAUUGAUGUGAUGCACCUGAUGAAAAAUCUCUACGUGAACGUGCUUGGCUUCUUGGGUGUAUAUGGAAAGGUAAAGGAUACACUUGAAGCACGUCGGGACCUGAAACUUAUGAAUCAACGAGAUGACCUACAUCCGGAAAAAAGAGAUAAUGUCAUUACUUGCAUCCUGCCAGUUACACUCUUAGUAAGGAAGAUAAGGAAAGCAUGUUUGAGUACUUGAAUAGUAUCAAGGUCCCAUCGAGCUACUCCUCAAAUAUAAAGGCAUUAAUAAAUUUGAAAUAGAAGAAAUUCAUAAAUCUAAAGGCCCAUGACUGCCAUCUCUUCAUAACACAAUUGUUGUCUGUUGCACUGAGGGGUAUUCUUCCAGAAAAUGUGAGAAUGGCAAUCGUGAAGCUAUGUGCAUUCCUCAACAUGAUUUCAAUGAAGGCAAUCCAUCCAGACAAUCUACGGAAGCUGCAGAAUGACGUGGUGCAAUGUCUUCUCAGUUUUGAGAUGGUGUUUCCACUUUCCUUCUUUAAUAUCAUGACCCACCUUGUAGUCCUCCUUGUUGAAGAGAUUUUUGUUCUCGGUUCUGUAUUUCUACACAAUAUGUUCCCUUUCGAGAGGUUUAUGACAAUUCUGAAGAAGUAUGUUCAUAGUCGUGCCCUUCCGGAAGGAAGCAUUGCAAAGGGAUAUGGAACAGAGGAGAUAAUUGAGUUUUGUGUUGACUUUAUGGAUGACCUGAGUUCGAUUGGAGUCCCUACAUCACGCUAUGAGGGGAGACUGAAGGGAAAGGGCACACUAGGGAGGAACGCUCAGAUGGAUAUCGAUGAGGAGACAUUACGUAAAGCACACUUCACGGUCCUACUGAAAUCAUCCCUGGUCGCUCCAUAUAUGGAGGAGCACAUGGCUAAUGUAUGGUCCUCAAAACAAGGGAAGACUGAGGUCUAGAUUACACGUCGUCACAUUGAAACAUUUGGCACUUGGUUAUGGCAUAAACUGAUGGGUGAUGACACCAUUGAAGAACAACUAGCAUGGUUGGCUAGGGGUCCAUUUAUGUCAGUAUCAACAUUCCAAGGAUACAAGAUAAAUGGGUACACAUUUUACACCAGAUCCCAAGAUCAAAAGAUCACAAACCAAAAUAGUGGUGUCUGUAUCGAUGCAAUAGACAGCAAUGGAAAAAAAGACAGACACUAUGGUGUCAUUGAGGAGAUAUGAGAACUCGACUAUGGACCUUUGAAAAUCCCUCAAUUUUGAUGCCAAUGGGUGAAACUUAAUGGAGGAGGCGUAAUGACAGAGAACUAUGGGAUCACAAUAGUGGACCUCAACAAGAUUGGAUACAUAGAUAAACCAUUCAUCCUAGCCAAUGACGUGACUCAAGUUUUCUAUGUGAAGGACAUGGCAGCAAAGCAAUAAGGAAGGCCGCUAAUAGGUCAGGUGAUCAGCCAAAGCACCAUAUUGUUCUUCCAGGGAAAAGAAAAAUCGUUGGAGUUGAGGACAAGAAUGAUAUUUCAAAAGAUUAUGAUCAGUUCGAUGAUCUUCCUCCAUUUUCAUUUGAGGUUGACACAAGCGUCCUGUUAGCCAAAGAGGACACUCCAUACUUACGCCGCAAUCACAACCAAGGGACGUUCGUUAAGAGGAGGGUUAUUAACCUUCCAUUAGAUGAUGAUGCAUAAUGUAUUUGAACAAUUAUGUUGUGUUUUUUAUUAUCAACAAAGGCAUUAAUGUAAUUGUGAAUGGUUAGAUCUUGUUUUUCCAAAUACAAUUCUCAUGUGUUGUUUAACUUUUUUGUCCAGCUAAAAUAUUGUUUAACUGAUUUUUGCACGGUUAAAAUAUUAAAUAUUUUGAUUUUUUAAGCACCAUUAAAUAUUAACACAAUAAAUUUACAUACAAUUAAACAAGAACAUGAUUAAGGGGUUGUUUGGAUAUGAGGUGCUAAACUUUAAUAGUGUCACAUCGGAUGUUCAGAUGCUAAUUAGGAGGACUAAACAUGAGCUAAUUAUAAAACUAAUUGCAGAACUCUGUGCUAAUUCGCGAGACGAAUCUAUUAAGUCUAAUUAAUCUAUCAUUAGCAAAUGGUUACUGUAGGACCACAUUGUCAAAUUAUGGACUAAUUAGUCUUAAUAGAUCCAUCUCGUGAAUUAUACUCCAUCUGUGCAAUCAGUUUUGUAAUUAGCCUAUGUUUAAUACUCCUAAUUAGCAUCCAAACAUCCGAUGUGACAGGUAUUAAACUUUAAUAGGGUGUUUCCAAACACCCCCUAAGUCAUGGUAAACAUGUUAAGAACAGUAGAGGCACCAUUCUUCUAAAUUUUUGCAUGGUCAAAAAAUCUUUUUUUUUGAAUUUUAAAGUGAAUAGAAGUAUUAUGACCAUUAUAUCCUAUUACUAAGUUAAAAUUAAUAACUUUACCAUGUUUGAUAUUGACCGCAUCUGAUAUUUUUAUAGUGUAUAUCUUAUAAACAUGAAGCUACCAUUAUUGUUACAAUUUUUAUGAAUGUUAUUAAGUUUACUAUGUAAUAAAUUAAUAUAAUAGAAAUUGUAAAAGAAAGAAAAAAAAUAAAAAGAUGGGCGGGGAAUUGAAAAAGGGUCAUGCUGUGCUUCGUCCUCCUCCUCCCGAUCCGCCGCCUCUCCGCCACCGCCGCCGCCGUCUGCCGCCUCCGUUGCCACCCCUCAACGUCGACGCCACCCCCCGCCGCCGCGCAACGCCGUCCUAGCUGGCCCCAACGGUGCCGCCCCAUCCCGACACGACGCUGCCCCGCCUCUGACGCCGCCGCACCGACGCUGCCGCCCCACCCCACCCCCAACGCCGCCGCCCCGCCUGUGACAAUGCCACCCCAUCUCUGCCACCCUAACACUGCCUCCCCGUCGACCGCCGCCUACCCCGGUCGCCUCCCCGUGGGCCGCUGCCUACCCCGGCCACGUCCCCGCCGGCCUCCACCGGCGCCGCCCGACGCCGCCCCACCCCCAGCGCACGCACCCUACAGACUCGCGCUGACGUAAGCCUGCGGCCGCCGUGACGUCAUUAUUUAGUUUUUAUAAGUGCUGGAAAUCAUGCCGUGACGUAGAAAAAUUGUAGGAAAUUUGUAUUAGUGUUGGAAAUCAUGCUGUGAUGUAGAAAAAUAGCAUGAAAUUUGUAUAAGUGUUGGAAAUCAUGCCAUUUGUUUUUUUUAUUGUCAUAGUAGUAGAGAAUAGGUAGAAAUUAUAGAAAAUUGUUGGAGUAGCUAGAAAUUAUAGAAAAUUGAAAUACUUAGAAAUUGAAAUCAUGCCAUUUAUUUUUUUAGAAUUGAUUCUUCCCAUGAAUUGAAAUACUUAGAAAUUACCAACAAAUCUGCCGUGACGUCAUUGUUAUACAAAAAUGUUGAAAAUAGCUAGAAAAUUAUCGAAUAUUAUAGAAAAUUAUCUAGAAAUUGUUGGAAAUCAUGCCAUUUAUUUUUUUGUCAUUCUAUUUAAAUGUUGUAUAGUGUUAGAAAUUUGUAUAAGUGUUGGAGAUUAUCUAUAAAUGUUUUAUAAGUGACGUCAUUAUUGUUUCAUUCAAUUUUUGUUGUUAUUUUCUUGCAGUGUUUCAUUCUAUUUUUGUUGUCAUUUUCUAGCAGCGUUUUAUUCUUUUUUUGUAUAAGUGACGUCAUUCAAUUCAUUUUUCUAUUUACUCAUUUAUUUAUUUCAACCAAUUGUAUAAGUGUUUCAUUCUUUUUGUGUCACCCUAUUAUAUUAUACCAGUUACAAUGGCACGAUCAGACGACGAGCGUGACCCUCAAACGGCAGAGGAGCUCCUAUAUCGGAUAAUUGCUGAAGGUGGCAAUCAAGCAAAUGAAAAGAUCGAUCAUAGCCAGGCUGACAUCUACCUCAACCUGGUUGGUGAUGGCAUCGAGGAGCAAUCAAUUGCCGAGGGAGGCAAUGUGGAGCAACCAGAUGCCGAGGGAGGCAAUGUUGAGCAACAAGGCGAGGUAUAACAAGUAUUAUACGUAAACAUUAUUUGAAUUCUCUUCUUAUCAAAAGAAACAUCAUCACGCAACAUUUCAAUUGUCAUUUUUCAGCCCUCUGGAUCAAGCAAAAGGCCUCAAAAGAAACGAGGCAAGAAUAAGAAGGCCGAGGGCCGUAUCAUCGUCACAGAAAUUGCUGAAGAUGGUGAACCAAUUGCUCCUGCCAAAGCUAAGACAAAGUUGGUGGAUCAUAUUGGGUUCCUUGUUAGAGAUAACAUCCCAAUCGGCUUUCAGAAUUGGAAAAAAACCUGACAUAGUCCCGAUCAGCACAAACCCACUCCUUUACGUACCUAACCGAGAGAAGGCUAUGGUAUGGGAAGAAGUAAAACAAAACUUUAGGUUCGAAAAUGUAGACGAAGCCAAAGUGAAAGAAUGGGGCUUGAAGAAGGGUGCGAUUGCAUUUUAGACGUACAAGAAAACCUUGACCAAGGAGUACAUAAAGAAGGGGCUUGCACCUGAUUUAAAUAAGCAUCCGAAGAUAAGGGAUCACUGGGAUUCCUUUGUAUAGUUCAAGGAGUCGAGCAGUAGCCAGUUGUCAACUCAAACCAACACCGGCAAUGCCCAACAGAAGCGAUACUUCCAUCAUCUUAGGAUUGGAGGUUACAAGUCUACGACCGCGAAAUGGCAAAGGAUGGAAGAUGACCUAAUUGCUAGGGGAAUAGUACCAUAUACUCUCGAAUGGCCUGAGUGAGAAAAAAAUUGGUUUUAUGCUCAUGGCGGCAGGCUCAAUUCUAAAGAUGGAUCAAUUAUCAUCAGAAAUGAAAUAAGAGAAGCGGCUACUAGACUUGAUGACUUCGUGAAAAAAACAGCUGAUGGAUCCUUCGUGCCUGAUCGAGAGAGGGACAAGCUGACAAUGGCACUUCAAAAUCCUGAACACCCUGUAUGAUACCGAGGCAAAGGACAUAUUCUGUUUCUAGUAUGCGUUUUGUGAGAACAUUGAAUCAUAUAGAAGUCGCCAGAGAAGCAAGGCCAACCAAGCACGACAGUUGUGAGAGCUGCAACAACAAGUAGUAGCAUCUAAGGUAAGAAUAGAGGAAAUAAUAGAUGAGCAUGUGGCCAUAGCUCUGAGCAAACAAGCCAGUCAACAAGCAGCUGCUGCACCAUCAGGGCUACAUGUCAACGUAAGCCCGACUCAGCGUCGAAGCAGUGUCACUUCAACGGAAGCCGCAACUGGAGGAUCCACUGACAUCAUUGAGGAACACCACCUCGUGGACGACAUCACAAGGAGAGCCUCUUGUGAGCUUUUUACUCCCGUGAGAAACAAGCUCAUAGUGGUGGCUUAUGGUGUGGCUAAGCAACCAAUGCAAGGCCAAACACUACAUGGCAUCGAGACUCAAGCUUGCUAUGCCAAGGUUGGGGUGGACCGAGUGGCCGACGAUUGGGAGGACUUGGAACUGGAGAUCCCUAGAGGUGACGGGGAAAAGAACUAGGAGAAGCUAUCCAUGGUUGGAUUAAGUGGCCCAAGGGCUACAUAAGGAUUACGCAGUCGAAUCCCCCCACCUUGGGUGCAUCUCCUCAAGGCUCAAGGGCACGAUCACUUACGCCAUCUGCCAGUGCACCCUCUCCACUACCAGACAAGUCUCCUAGCAUGAGUCCAGCACCAGAAAGGAAUCCAAGCAUAACUCCAACUCCCCCUCCUAUGAAGAAGUAUUCAGUUCCUCCUCCACCUCCACCUUCUAAGAAGAAGCAGAAGAAGCAGAAGGAGAAUGCACCAGCUGAGAAAUUACCGUAUGAUAUGAUAGAUGAGGAAUGUACGGCUGUAGCGGCUGCUAAGCAUGAAAAAUGGAAAGAGGCUUGUAAAGAAGCAAGAAGGAAGAAACAGAAUUCGGAGCCACCACUGGAUAAGCAUAAGGUUCGGUCUUUCAUCAGAAAAAUGGAGGCGGAGCAAAGGAAAAAGCUAGAAAAACCUCCUCUAUCUGAUUACGAUAGGCAAAUAACAAAGUAGGCAGCUCAUAAGAGGAAGAAAAGUGGGAAAUCUAUUUCUCAACUCAGAGAGCAAUCCAACCAAUUGGUUGCCCCGCUUGUGGUACUUUCUGAGUUUGACAAAAACCUGGUUGAAUUCGCUAAAAAUACAAAUCUGACAGUGGCACAACUUCAAGGGGAGGAUGACAUCCCAACGCUCCAUGUGCCUGUUAAAUGGAAAUAUGAGUAUGGUAUAUUUCCGAAGUUUGUGAAAUAUCUGCCAACGAAGAUGUACAAGCUGCACCAAUGGUACAAGCAGGCUACAUCAAAUGGUUAUGUUGCGAUGGAAGUUCGGGUUGGUGAUCAACAUUACUUCCACGGUGAUGAUAUCAUAAUGGUGGACCUAGACGAACUGUACAUGCUAUACAAUCAAGAUGCACUAGACAAGUCACUAAUCAGUAGCUGGGUCCUGUAAGUCUUUAGUAUAUUCCUCUAACUUCAAAAUCCUCGCUCUAGUCAAUUUUCGAUAUCUUAACUCCUAUUUGAUUUUGCAAUGUGCAGUAUGGAGAUGCAAUAUUGUCGUAGUAUGGGAUACCAUGAUGUAGGCUUCAUGGACCCCUUCAAUUAUUUUUCAGGAUAAUCUAAGGGAUAAACCAAAAUGGACCUUGAAGAAUAUAUUUAAGUUCCUCGACAAGCAUUAGGACAAGAUGCGCAUAUUACUACUGUGGAACUUCGAGUGAGCAUUUUUCCCAUCUCUUUCUUUUCCGAACUAGCACUUAAACAUAAUACUAACUAUCUUCAAUUUGGAUGUACAGGUACCAUUGGGUACUCAUUAUUAUUAUCCCUGAUUAGAGCUUAGUGACUGUCUGGGACUCUUUGAGGAAACCAAAAGGAAAAUUCGAUAACACCAUGAACACUCUGAACAAAUGCUGGACUCGAUGGCGUCGGACUCACAAGGGUGAUUUCAAGGAGCAACUCGAUUUGCAUACACAUUUCCCGGUAUAUGUUGAAUUUUCACAUCUCGUGACACUUCUUUUAACACAACAAAUAUUUCAUAAUUUUUUUUCCAUAUAUAUAGUGUGCGAGACAGCAGGAGGGUACUCAUUUAUGCGGAUACUACGUUUAUGACUCAUCCACGAAUUUGUGGGUCCGAAACGUAUCACCGAACAAGAAAUAACCGUACGUAUACAAAAUUAAUUUGCUUGUACUUCAAAAACCAAAUUAGGUGUAUAUAUGUAGAAUAUUAAAUUAAGUAUUUCAAUUCGGAUACUUAUACUUCAAAAACCAAUUCAAGUGUAUAUACUUAGAAAAAUUAGAUUAAGUAUUUCAAUUCAUAUGCUUAUACUUCAAAAAAAGUUUCAAUUGUUCAACAAAUUUAGAUUAAGUAUUUCUAAUUCAUUUGGCAAUGACACAGAUGAUGAACAGGAAGGAAAAACUUCUCGACACCGAAGUUUUCAGGGCAAUACAAGAUCAACUAUGUGGAUUUCUUCUGGACGAGGUCGCAAAUUUUGCGGGCGAGUUUCAUAAUUUAAGAUCUAAUCUAGUGCACAAAGCGGACUCGAGUUCAGAUUAGUAAUUAAAUACGAUAUGUGUAUGCACAAUAUGUAUAUAUAUAUAAUAUUAUCUCAAAUGUUAUAAAUAGAACUUUCCAUGAAUUAGCAUAUUAGAACGUAAAGGAAACAAAUACAAAAUAUAGACUAAAAAACAGAAAUAAGAAAAGAAAAGAAAAAAACUUAGUACCGGUUGGGGAUACCACCAACCGGUACUAACGAGAGCACCUCCCCGCAUGGCGUGGGAAGCUCUUUAGUACCGGUUGGUAUCCCUAACCGGUACUAAAGAGUACAUUUUAGUACCGGUUAUUUGAACCAGAACUAAAGGGUCCCCCUCUAGUACCGAUUGGCUAAUACCGGUUGCACAACCGGUACUAGAGGGGGGUUAUAAACCGGUAUUGGAUGUCAUUUUUCCAGUAGUGUACCAUGGGCUAGCUCGCUGAAGUGCCAAACUGGACGCUGAAAUAAGCAGAGGCAGAAACCAGUGGAUGGCUAGGUAGCGCCGGCCGGUGAUUGAUCUCUCUCACACAACGACUGAAGAGUCUCCCUGGAUGGGAACCUGCUGAGGCCAGUGGCGAACUGUGUCGUGGUACACAUACUAGCUUUGUUUAGGUCUUCGUCUGGAACACAAAGUGUGUAAAUCUAUGGAGAGACGCCAUUUUGAACAGAAAGAUACGCUCACAGUUUUAGCACCAUGGACUCGCUCAGAUCGAGCUAGCAGCACGCUAAGCUUUUCUCUGCUUCUUUCCAGCGUCAAGAUAGGCACUUCAGCGAGCAGCCCACGGUAGAAUUUCCCGGUAUGGAGCCCAACCAGAUCAAGUCCUCCUAUGUGCUCUGCAGUACGCAUUGCACGCCGCUUAUUAUUCCGGUCCUAGCAUGUAUGUUCAGGUUUUAAUAGAAAAAAAUCAUUUUUAACCUUUCAGGUUUUACGAAAAAAAGUUCAUUUUUGACCAUUGAUUAUUGAAUUAUCACCGGAGUCCGAUUUUGACCAUCAAGUUUCGUCAAAAAAUAAUCUAUUUAUUAAGAGAUGCCAUCUUGAACAGAAAGAUACUCUCACACUUUUGACACCAUAGACUCGCUCAGAUGAAGCUAUCAGCACGCCAAGCUUUUCUCUGCUUCUUUCCAACGUCCAGAUCAGCACUUCAACGAGCCAGCCCACGGUAGAAUUUCCCGGUACGGAGCCCAACCAGUACAGAUCAAUUCCACAUCUGUGCUCUGCAUUCCGCAUUGCACGCUGCUUAUUAGUACGGUCGUAACAUGUAGGUUCAGGUUUUUAUAGAAAAUAAAUCAUUUUUGACCAUUCAGGUUUUUAUGAAAAAAAGUUCAUUUUCUACCAUUGAUUAUUGAAUUAUCACCAGAGUCCGAUUUUGACCAUCAAGUUUUAUCAAAAAUAAUCUAUUUAUUCAGAGAAAAAAGAUACGCUCACACUUUUAGGACCAUGGACUUGCUCAGAUUGAGCUAGCAGCACGCUAAGCUUUUCUCUGCUUCUUUCCAGCGUCCAGAUUGGCACUUCAGCGAGCCAGCCCACGGUAGAAUUUCCUGGUACGGAGCCCAACCAGUACAGAUCAAGUCCUGAGCUGUGCUCUGCAUUCCGCAUUGCACGCCGCUUAUUAGUCCGGUCCUAGCAUGUAUGUUCAGGUUUUUAUAGAAAAUAAAUCAUUUUUGAUCAAUCAGUUUUUUAUGAAAAAAGUUCAUUUUUGACCAUUGAUUAUUGAAUUACCACCGGAGUCUGAUUUUGACCAUCAAGUUUUGUCAAAAAAAUAAUCUAUUUAUUAAGAGACGCCAUCUUGAACAGAAAGAUACACUCACACUUUUGGUACCAUGGAUUCGCUCAGAUGGACCUAGCAGCACGCUAAGCUUUUCUAUGCUUCUUUCCAGCGUCCAGUUCGGCACUUCAGCGAACCAGCCCACGGUAGAAUUCCCCGGUACGGAGGUUGGCGGUAGAAUUUCCCGGUACGGAGCCCAACGAGUACCGAUCAAGUCCUCACCUGUGCUCUGCAUUCCGCAUUGCACGCCGUCCGGUCCUAGCAUUUAUGUUCAGAUUUUUAUAUAAAAUAAAUCAUUUUUGACCUUUCAGGUUUUUAUGAAAAAAAGUUCAUUUUUGGCCAUUGAUUAUUGAAUUAUCACCAGAGUCCGAUUUUGACCAUCAAAUUUUAUCAAAAAAUAAUCUAUUUAUUAAGAGCGUCAUUAAAAAUAAUCUAUUUAUUAAGAGCGUCAUUUUGAACAGAAAGAUACGCUCACACUUUUGGCACCAUGGACUAGCUAGCAGCAUGCUAAGCUUUUCUCUGCCUCUUUCCAACGUCCAGUUCGGCACUUCAGCGAGCCAGCCCACGGUAGAAUUUCCUGGUACGGAGCCCACCCGCAUUGCACGCCGCUUAUUAGUCCCGUCCUAGAUGUAUGUUCAGGUUUUUAUAGAAAAUAAAUCAUUUUUUACCAUUCAGGUUUUUAUAAAAAAAGUUCAUAUUUGACCAUUGAUUAUUGAAUUAUCACCUGAAUCUGAUUUUGACGAUCAAGUUUUGUCAAAAAAUAAUCUAUUUAUUAAGAGACGCCAUCUUAAACAGAAAGAUACGCUCACACUUUUGACAAUAUGGACUCGCUCAGAUGGAGCUAGCAGCACGCUAAGCUUUUCAUUGAAGAAAGGCAAGUGUCCCUAACCAUCCUUCUACCUAUACUUUGUUUAUAAUACCAUGAUAAUUUUUAAUCAGAACUUGGAGCGACCACCCAGGAAAACAGUGCUACCACAGGACUAAAUGGCUCUGGUCUUGGCUGAGUAAUUAGAAACUCUAGUCUAGGGUAAUCUUACCGAAAGGGCAAGAGGGAAGGCGCUGAUGGGGUAUAGCACUCGCUCUCUUGGGACGUGGGCUUUGCUAAGACACUGUACCCAUUAGGGGACUGUUAUGCUCUGUUUCGACCUGAAAGCUUAGCGGGUUACCACUUACUAGCGAAUCUUUGUAAAGGUCUCGUAGCGUCCCGAUGCAAUCACACCUCGGAAGUGUGGUAUGGUGCUUGGCCAGCACCGCAUGGUUGGGUCCAAAGUUCUUCUGAACUUUGACGCGACUUGUGGGUAAAGAUGUGCCACCUCUGCAGAGUGUAAAACUGAUAUAUCAGUCGUGCUCACGGUUAAGAGCGGCUUGGACCCUCACAUGAUUAACUAAAUUUGAAGAUAGACUUAAAUCGUUAUUCUGGUUAUUUCUAGUGGCCUUGCUGAGUACCAACCAUAAGUGUACUCACCCUUGCUUACUGCUGCUCAGAAGAAGGUGUGUGGAGUAUUCCGAAGAUGAUGCUGAGUUCUAAGCGUACGCAACCCCCAGUCGAUUGCCUGUGAAGUUUGGAGCCCCUGUUUCCGAAAUUAAGCUGUAUAUCUCUGAUGGUUUCGUAAGUCUUUUUUUUAUCUUUUUACAUGAUAACUGUUGUUCACUUAUGAUGUCACUAUGUAUAAAACUUGAUCGUGACAUACGGUUGGUCACACAUCUCGCCUCCACGGCCGUAACGCCAUCAUCCCAGCACCACAACGAUCGACCUCGUUAGCUUGCCGUGCGUGCGAGUCCAUCUCGCGGCGCGGCGCAGCGUUGGUCGCCCCAGUCGAUCGACACCGACAGCGACCCCUUUGUGGUUGUGGUGUGGUCGCCGCGCCGCGAUAAAACACGCCUAGAAGGCCAGAAUCGAUGAUACCCCCCUCGCCAAAUUUUCCACACGCCCCGAAUGGAGCGCAGCGAUCGAAAACCGUAAGCCGCGCAAACCACCGGCCACGGCCCGCACGGCCAAGGAACACGUCGUUCUCCUCCAGUCUCCCACCCCGCACCACGCGCCGGCGCCGCGCGCGCGCGCCUAUUUCUAGCUCGCCUCCUUCCGCCUCGCCGCCACGGAGUCCUCACCUCGACACACUCGAACACACCUCUGUUCCGGAAGCAGGGACAAGCAAAGCAAAGCUCUCACAAAGUCCCAAGCGAGGAGCACGGCGCAGCGGGGGCAUGCUGACGCUGCACCCGAGGGCGGUGGCGGGCGUCGCCGCGGAGGCGGCGGCGCCCGAGGACGGCCAUGACGAGGGCCGCGCCUGCUACUGCGUCGUGGCGGCCUGCGUCUCGCUGCUGCUCUUCGUCGUGCUGGCCGCUGCCACGGCCAGCGUCGCCAAGGCUUGCGCCGUAUCCGGCGCGGCCGUGCUCCUGCUCGGCCUCGCCGGCUGCCUCGCGCCCUCGUAGGACGGUGUUAAAGCGGCGGCGCGGCAGCAGGCUCCCGCUGCGCCCGUGCGGCUGGUGGUGCACCACCGCUGCGCCGCGUGCGGGCUGCCGGACGCCGCCAUCGGCGUGCUCCCGACGUUCGCGUAGGAGCCGCCGCCGCCGCCGCCCGCGGCGGCGGCGACGACAAGCCGCGCCGCAGCAGCUCCGUGCUGCUCUGCGCGGUGUGCCUGGAGGACGUGCGGGCCGGCGAGGUGGUGCGCCAGCUCCCGGCGUGCCGCCACCUCUUCCACGGCGACUGCGUCGACGCCUGGCUGCGCGCGCACCGGACCUGCCCGCUCUGCCGCUGCGACCUCUCCCCGCCGAACGUCACCUCGAAGGCUGUCGCCCCUCCCCCGGCCGCCGCCGCCGCCGCCGCCGUCACGGUGGGGUCCUCGCCCGACGGCCUGCCGCCGGUGUGAGGACUCGAUCGUCACCAGUUCACCGGAAUCUGGGCGGCGCAUCCGUGAUUCCUACUGUACAUUCAUGAUCUCAAACACAGCAUAAAACAGACUUUUAGGUUGAUGGUAUAGUGUUCACUGUCGCUGAUGUGUAAUUCUUCAUUGCGACACAUGACCAAGCAAAGAUUUGAUUUCGAAAGCGCAGAAGAUAGCCAGCCAGCCGUGCGUCGCCGGACACGACCGCGAGAAAUCGAGUGGCUGGCUCCAAACCUCUCGCCUGACGCUUCUUCCAGUUGCGAAAGAUAAGGAGCAUCUAGCCGAUGGAGACCGGUACCGGAUAGUACGGAGCGUGGAGCUCGACGUGCUUGAAAUCGGCCGCUACCAGACAACCCGGUCGCUCACGUCAGUUGCAGCUUAACUGAUGUUAGUGUGGAGCAUACACCACGGGAGUGUGGGAAUGUUGUCGCACAGGCCAAUUACAGUUUGGAGUGUAUGGAACAAGAAGAAACGUCCGUGUUUCCCAGGCAACUGAAGCUUUUGGGCCGUUGGGAUUAGCUAGGUUUAGGUGAGAUGAAGACAUCAUUUCAUUGUUGGCUUAUAUGUGUUGUUGAUCGCUCAGAGACUCGAUCCUGGAUUGAUUGGAACUGGGGAGGUUUGGACCCAUCUUUUUCUUUCUUUCUUUCCUUUGCUUCGCUUGGUUUCAGGGCAGACGGGAAUGAUGACGCUCGAUUAACAACAGAUAACUUAAAGAUCUAUACAUUGAGAUACUUUUGUUGCGUGAGAUUUGCGUCGUCAGUGAUGAUCUUCUGCUCUAGACACCGGUCACGAGCAGUGGAGGACAUGCUGCGGGUAGCAUCUCGGUGUAGAGGGCAUCCAAAAAUAGAGUGAUUAGCGUGACGGCAGCAAGAAAGCCGCUAGAAACCGAGGUAUGCGGUCCCGCAAGGUAAGGGCUGAGGUGUUUGAUUUGAGAAAUGAGAUAGUCCAUCACUUCAUCAAUGUCUCACUCACUUUUUUUUAGUUUGCGGAAAGAAAUGACUUGAUCCUGCACCACAUCAUUCCUCCCAGAAUAAUAAUUAGUGCCAGACCGAAUUUGAGGAAUGGAGUUUGGACUCAUGAUGCACCACGUCAUCUAGAAUGAGAUGGUUUCUCAAACCGAACAAUCCUGAGAUGAAACACACCUUGAACUAUGGGAAACCUCAAAUUUGCCGAGUAUUUUUUUUGCCGAGUGUUUUUUUUCGAACACUCAGCAAACAAGCUCUUUGUCGAGUGCCGGGCUAAAAACACUCGGCAAAGAAAAAACACUCAGCAAACGAGGAACUUUGCCGAGUGUCAAAAAAAACACUCGGCAAAGAGGCGGUUUUUCUCUUUUCACCUUGAAAUUUUUUCUACUCCCCACAUACAACAUGUGGUACUCCCUGUUAAAAUUUGGUACAUUUUUUAAUUUGUUUGCUAUAUUUAUUUAAUUAAUUGUAUUUCAAGAAAAAAUUUGGUAUAAGUCAAAUUUGAACCGCAAGUGAUUCAAAUUAUAGAAUAAAAUGAGUAGAAAAAUGAUAUUCAUGUUAUUUGGUCCAAUUUGAGACUUGACCCGUGAAAUGAAAAGAAAUUUUGAACAUCUUGUUCAGGAAACACGACCACGAAUGUGUGGCAGUGGUAUUUUUAAAUUGUAAAAAAAACAGCAAAGGCUGAAAAUCAUGAGAUUUGUCAUGAUGUGAUGGUAUCAUACGUGGAGGUUGUGGAAAAAAAUUGAGAAGGUUUUGCACGUUUCAUCACGUACGAUGUUUACAAACCGAAGAAUCUCAGAAGAAGAAUAGUAACGUUGAGAAGGAUUCGAUAAGAUUUGGAGUCAAAGUGACGGUCGAGUUUUGAUUUGACUACAAAACUUUUUGUAUAGUCAAUAGAGAAUAUAUAUUAUUUUAUGUGAAUUUUUGGUAAUUUUUUGGAACUGUUAGAUAAUUUUUGAAUUUUUUUUAAAAUAGCUUUGCCGAGUGUCCUAGGUUAGACACUCGGCAAAGCAACCCUUUAACGAGUGUCACACCUAGGACACUCGGUGAUUUUUUUUUGUUUCCACACCGCCCCCAGGACAUAGUCCCAACGACCCCAGCACCCCACCCGGCCCCCUCCGCAACCCCCAUCCGCCCCCUCGUCUUCCUCCGCAACCCCUACCCGCGCGUCCCCUCGUCUUCCUCCUCCACCCCCACCCGCCCCCCACCUUCCUCUCCCUGUCACUGCCGCCCGGCAUCCGGCGCCGACCCCCGCCGCCGCCCCUUCCCUCCCUCCCUCUCCUUCCCCAGCUCCCUCCCCUCCGGCUGGAUCCGCGCCGUCCUUCCCCGGCUCCCUCCCCUCCGGCUGGAUCCGCGCCCCCUUCUUCCCCUACGGCGCGGAUCCGGCAGCCCCCAGCUCUCUCCCCUCCGGAUCUGGGGCGGGCCAGGGGCGGCACGGGCCACGGAGCUGUCCAGGAGCUCCGGGAGGUUUCCGCGGCAGCUCCGGGUGGUGUCAGCGGCGGGCUUCCCCCCACCUCCCCAGAUUCUAGUGGCGGCGUGGUAUUGGUGGUAGCGGCGGGGCCGUGGAUGGCGGCAGCGGCGGGGGCUGGUGGCGCGGCGGCGGCGCUGUUGGUGGAUGGCGGCAGGCUUCGUGGCGUGGCGGCGGGAGAAAAGGGUGGCAGCCUGGUGGCGGCGGGAGGCAAGGGUGGCGGCGGCUGGCGGUGGCGCUAGCUUGUUUUUUUUAUUUUUUCCAAAAAAUCUUUGCCGAGUGUUUUUUGCCACUCGGGAAAACUUUUACCGAGUGCCCAACAAAAACACUCGGCAAAGUCUGUUUGCCGUCACUUAUUUUGCCGUGUGCCGUUUGCCGAGUCAGCAAACGGUUCGCCGAGUGUUUUUUGCCGGGCACUCGGCAAUUUUCGUGUGUCCCGGAGCCGGUUGCCUUCAUAUCGUGACCGUCAUUAGUAAUGUGUCGCUGAAAAAUGUGUGUUUUCAGUUGCCUAUUGAUAGCGUUGCCCUCAUUAGUAAUCGACUUCAUCGGCCGGUACGACCUGGUUUGAAUAAAACUAUACUCCUACCUAUAAAAAACUGUGGAAGUGGAACAGAUGAAAAUCGACUUGGUCAGUCAGUGUCCAUUACAGAUAUUUUGCAGCUUGUCUCAGUCAGUACUCAGUAGUGUUCACGGGUUCUUUUCAAAUCGCAAUUCACUGUGUGGAAAAGGCGGUGACGACCUGGCAGAGUUUGCAAGAUCGCUAGCAUAAUAAUUGCAUUAUCGUUGACAAAAUACGCUACGUAUAUAUACAGCCAGCAGAACAGCACACUAGCACAACUAUAUUUAAUUAAAACCCAAAAAAGUAUGUGCAAACCUAUCCUUGAAGUUGAAACUACCCUGUAUACAGCCGCCGUGGCACGGCGCACCCGCACCCCCCUGCCGGAGCUACACCGGCGGCAGCGGCGGCGGCUCGGUCGACGGCUGCUGCACGGGCCCCUCGGGCGGUUCUUUGCCUCCCUUCUUCUGCGGCACGACAUGGCACCUGCACACGGGGCACGUCGCGUGCGAGUCGAGCCACAUGUCGAUGCAGCCGACGUGGAACGCGUGCGCGCACGCCGGCAGCCACCGCGCCGCCUCCCCGGCCUUCAUCGCCUCGAGGCACACCGCGCAGUCGCUGACGGGCGCGCCCGCGGCCGCCGGCUCGUACGGGAACGCCGGGGCGACCGCCGCGAUGGCGGCCGCCGAGAGCCCGCCCCGGCUGAGCCGCGCCUCCUCGUCGUCGCUGGCGGCCCGGGCGGCGAAGGUGCGGGACGCGCAGGAGAGCACGAAGAGGAGCGCGCAGUACAUGGCAAGCGCGACCCACAGGUACCGGACGAACGCGGCCAGGAUGACGAGGAGGAGCAGCACCGGGUACGACGCGAGCACCAGCGCGCUCCGCUGCGCCGCCAUGGAGUCGCCGAAGACCUGCUGCGCGCGCCACGGGUACUCCUCCGCCGCCGCUGACAUCGCUGGGAUUCUGGCUGUACCUAUUGGGUUAGCAGGUGGCUGCUGUCGUGCGGUGUGUGUGCGAGCAUUGGCGCCAUCCGCGAGAGGUUUUAAUCUGCCCGGCGGCCAAGGGCCAACCGGAUAAUGCCGUCCAAUUCCUGGACGGCAGCAGGCAGCUGCAACUAGACAGGCGGCAUUCGAGACUUCUGCGAGAGUUGCUUUCCCGGGCAGGCGAGUCAUUGGAUUUUUGUGUGAUCUCGAGCAAUAUACAAUCGAGCAGCGCCAACUCGGGUCAAUGCUUGUCUCGGCAAGAAAAGGGCUUCGUGGAGGAGGCGCGACCUGCUAAGAUAUUGCGUUGAUAGUAGUAAGUCUGACGUGACCCACUGCGUGCAAGGUGCAACUCAUGACAGUUCAUGGACCGAGACACAGAAGGAUUAUGAUAUUGGUCGCGGUAUGAUCCAUCCAUAUCCUGACGAGACCGGACAAGAUGUGCAGCCUGAUUUUCUACGACGGAACCAUAUCUGACAUGAUUUUGUUGGGGGGUGAGAAUUGGUAUUAAGUUUCUGAAAACAUGCUGCUUGUCCAAAGUCCAGACACGACGUCGCUUCUGUAUCAUUUGUUAAUUCAAGUGGCUCGAGACAGAGACCAAGCCUAGUGAGGAGAUGGAAAAGGGGAAAGAAAAUGUGCGAGAAUUCAGAGAACGCCGCAGUCACAAUGUGCGUGGACAUUGAUCCGGUCCAAUACGAUUGAAAGCAUGUGUAUUUAAAUCUCUAGACAAGAGCGCUGCAGCAGUCUCAGACCCCGUUUGGUAGGAUUUAUCUUAGCUUCGGCUUCAUCUGUUUUAUGUAAAAUGAGGCACUGAAGCGUGAAGCUAUUUUGUAAGUCGAAGUUAAAAUAAACUAGAAACUAGGUGAAACCACUAUUUUUAUCUUCGUCGGCUUUAGCUUCAUCAAUAAAGCUGUGUUGGGAGAAGCCCUCCCAAAUGAGACCUCAAAAUCGAUCAGAAACGAACGAUUACGAUCCAAGAGAGGAUGGAAGGUUAGUCGCCUACUGAUGGGAGGUUAAGUAGUACCCGCAAGGGAUGCCGGGUGAGGUGAACGUUCUGGCGACCGGUGAGAGCUGGGCGUACAAUAAACCGGAGGAAUGGUCACGGCUCAUGCUUGUGUUUUCACUGAUAAUGGUAGUUCCCCUCACCCUAAACUUUUUUUUUUUGCUUCUAUGGUGUGCGUCAGCAGGAGAUUGACAUCGAAGAUGAUUCUUUUUGGCAUAUAGUUUAUAUUCUCAUUUUUUCUUUUAUGUAUGUAUGAGAGCGAUGACACCUUCACCUUCCACCGUAAACUCAAUUAACCAUGGGUGUGUUUACAGUGUAAUUUUGCUGCUUGAUUUAUUUAAAUGGCCAAAUUAUUCAGUUGCUGGCGGUUAACUUGAUCAACGGAUUGUUGUUUAAUAAUUGGCAGGAUCCACAGUCUUGUUUUAGAAUUGGAGAUCGUCGAGUGCAGCAAAAUAAUUCACGAAGGCCAAACAAGUAUAUUUGUGCAGAGCUUUGCAUGGUUGAAUGCCCUGAUCAUGGAAGGAGAGAUUACGCAUGCAUAAAGGGUUGUAAAUGAAGCAACUCAUAUGAAGAUUUCCAUUAUGGUGUGAUUAGGAUGUGGCCGAAAUUUUUUAUUGUUGCAUUGUAAACCAACGUGUACAAGAUUAUGGUCUAGUGCGGUCACGUUGUAGAUUUAACAGGAUAGAACAUUGUAUAUAUGGUAACCGAAUUAAACUGGUCAAGUCUUAUUCAGUAUAAGCCAGAGUCUUGUCCAUAUACGUGAAGUGCCUUAUAAAUACUAGAGUCUGGGGCGCACCUCCGGCGCGCCAAUUUUCUGACCAAAUUUUCAUUAAAAGGAUUGAUGUUCAUGUAUUAGCGUCAAGAGCGUGAUAUGUCUUAAAAAAAUAAAAUUAGUGGUACUAAUCAGGCAGCUGCAUGCGCUAAUGUUUAGGUCUUUAUGUUUUGAUGUGAUGGGAGAAAUUAUGAUUUUAAUAAUGAUGAUUAAUGUCUGCAUCCGAUAGUAUAAGCAUUAACUUUGAAGGAGUUGCGUAAUUAAUUCUAUAUAUUCAUCAGUGCGGAGGUAAGAGAUUGGAAUUGGAGUCGAGCAGGAUAAUUGUAUAGUAAUCACAAUCACGUUGCCUUUGCUCAUAUGGAAAAGUAAACCAGCUACUGAAAUAAGUGAUAUAGUAACAUAGUACAUAAUUACAUAGUAGUGGUAGAGGACGAGUAUUAAAAUAAAUAAACACAUCUAACAGCAAUGCUUGUUGACUAAGUGGACAAACUGGUCAGUAAACAUCUCAAGAGUAGAUUGUGGAGGAGUAUUUCCUGUGUAUGUAAGUGUGACGGUGUUCGAAGUAGUAGUAUUGCCUGUAUUUGGAGAAAUUGCAAGAGGAAGUACGUUGCUAUAGUCGGCGGAUAGCUCUGUGAUCUUAGCGAUGAAGUUGUGAUGUUGAUUUUCUAUCUUUUUCAAGCGUUUCAUUUGAGCGACACAUGCGUCCUCAAAAAUCCAUGCUCAAGACAUAGCUGAUUCCUUCACUUUCUGUGUCUUCAAUAGGUUGGCAUGGUUGUGAUAGACCAAAGUCAAUUUCCCUUCGCUUGUGAUACUGUGAAUGGCAUCAUCAUAGGUUGAUUCUAUUGCUCCGCCUACGGUAUAUACGAAAUCGCUGUAGUAAGUUGCUUUCUUAUUAUGCGGAGGAGGUGUUCGCUGCGUUGGCAUAAUAGUAAUGGAGGCAGUGAAGAUAGAAUUACUCAUUUUUCUCACAUCUGUUCUAGAUACAUAAAGAUGUAGGUCUUGCGCAAUUUGAUCGAAAAAUAGCUUCUUUGGUAUCUAAACAGACAACAUAGUUUUGUGACAUUUAAAGUAGUUCCUUAGCUUUCAUGUUGGAGUGGUAGGGAUUUGAUGCGUUGUACAAAGGAAGAAAUGAUUUGAACAAUGGAAAAUUCAUAACUACGCUUUUGGUUGUGAUAACGCCUUCGUGUUUACUUCAUUCUUAAAGUGGUUACCAUGUGGAAAGGUCGUAGCUUGAAGAGAUGAAAGUGCUUUGCAUCUUGGAUAGCUAUUUAUAUAAGAUAGUCCUAGUUAAAAACACCUGUAGGCAAAGGUGAACAUGUAUGAAAUGUCGUGGCAGCUAAUCUUCUUGUCAUGUAUUCAUCGUGUCAUGCAAGUGCUGCGCAUGGAAGUUGUGUUUAUCUGUGUGUCUAUGACUUGUAUAUGUGUGAUAUCCUUCAAUCGACAAUGUGGUUUCCACGUAUUGGGCUAGGACUGGCCCAUUAGUUUCAAAAAUCCCAGCAGUUGGUGUAGCAAAGAAACAUGAGGUCACCAGUAGCUUCCACCGUGGGCUCCUGACUUCCUGCGUCUGCUUUCGUGUGUUUGGCUACUCACUCCGUGCAGAAUCGAACAUUGAUGGCGCUCAACAUCCUCAAAACCUAGGUCUAGAAGGGGAGCAUCGAUUCGAACAGCGCCUGAGGGGCAGGUGCGCAGCGGCGGUCAAUAAGAGAGAGGAAGUUGGUUGGUAUAUAAUAGAUAGUUAAGAGCUAUCGAAUGAUGCUUGCUGGAUUUGAUUCGACUAACUAAUCCAAAUUUUGUUUCAAAUAGAUCGGAGUAAGGAAGAUAGGGAGGAAAGGUACGUUGGUCUCUUUCGAUUCUCGCAGUAAAGUGAAUCAUUCAAUGGCACUGUGGUAGGAUUAUCGCUGGAACCCAAGUGAUUCACAGGUUAGUUCAUUAGUAUUUAGUCUCUGCAUACAAAGAUGGGAAGAGAUCUAUAUAGUUUUGCUUACUCUAUACAAACAGACAUGAAUAUUCACUGUAAAGAAAUGAAAAAACAGUUGACUAAGUAGGAAACACCAUUAUUUGAACUGAAGGGGUCAUAGGUAUAUGAAGUUCUCCCAUAGAUUAGGUGUAUAAAUAAUUGAGGAUUGUAAAUCAUGACCACACUUUUUGUGAGACUUAACGUGGUUAUAGUAGGUUGAUGUUGUCAAUAAAUUGUUGAUGUCAAAUAACAAUGCAUUCACUAUUAUGUUACUAAGUUAAAUUGAAGACAUGAUCUGAGUUGUGUCAGUAGCAUUGCAGUGUGCAGCAUAGCCGUGGUAAAGUAUAGAUCCUACAAUUAUGUACACAAUGUUAGUGUUUGUACCUGAUACUUUAUACAACUAUAUUUGUUCAUUACAACUCUAGUUUGUUCAUGCUCAAAUUGAUUAGAUUACGACUAUAAUUCAUCUUUUUUAUAUUGACCCGUGUAGAAUGGCAACAGAAGAAUUGUGCCCUAUGAAUGAUAUUGGAAAGAUAUUCCAGUGGUACGAUGAUAGGUACGGAAAGAUUAGUACCAAUAUUACUUGAAAGGUACAAUACUAUUGGUUAAUUAUCAUUAAUUGAUAAUACACUAAUAUCUAAUUUUCCGGAACUUGGGUUUUUAUAUUUCAGGAAACAAUUAAGAUUAAUGGAGAGUUAGUAGUGCGAGAGUUAGGCCGCCUGCUAAACAGCACACAACUAUGUUUUAGCCAUACUUGCAUAGAGAGCAAUAAUUGGCAAAUAAGUCUUUCUUUUCAGUUUCCAAGAAAUGGCAACAUGUUCGAGAAUAUGAUAGAUGUGUUUAUCUGCAGUGAUUUACAUGAUAAUAUUGAGGAUGCGAAAGCAUCUUUGUAUAACAAAGUAGUGGAGCAUUUGGUGCAAAUUCACAGAAUUGGUAUUGCCGAUUAUAGCAGUAGAGAAAGAGACACCAUCUAUGCAGAAUGGGAAUCAAUGCACGAGAAGAUGUGUCAAUGAUUCUAUAUUAACUCUGAUAUUCUAUUUGGUUGGGAAGCUGGAUUGAUUGAAGCAGAAAGACUGUAUCAGGUAUAUGGUUAUAGUUUGAUCGAUUCUGAUCUCAGUGGUAUUGAAAAUACACCAACGAAGGUACGAACUUGGUUUAUAAAUGUACUCAGAGAUAGAGUAUUGAUAUUUAAAGAUGAUGUAGUUGAAAGCAAAGCCAGGCUAAAGAGUUUGAACGAGCAGAGAGACAUCUAUGUAAGCACGGUUAAUGUCAAUAUGCGUGAAGCUAUAAAGGUAUGAGUUGUGACCACAAUCAUUUCUUGCAUGUUCUUCUUAAAAUGAUUGUAGCAUGAUCAAUCUAAAGAUAGAUUUUAUCAUUGUACUUAUUGUUGCUAAUAUAUGUACAAGUGGAGGAGGAUUGUUUCUGUUUCAAAUAAAUUCAUCUUCGAUAAUAUAAUUGAUAGAUCUCAAAAUGAAAAGGCAGAUGUGGAGAUAAUACAAAUGGGAAAUCAUGCGUUUGCUGGUGAGAUGGUACUGCAUGUAGUAGAACAUGACAACAGCAAAGAAGAUGUUCUAUGCAAGAGAAUGUUGGAAACUUAAACGAACCGGAUUUCUGUAAGGAGAAAUCUGACUCCCUGUAUCCUCGUGAUAAUCCCUGGAUCAGUAACUAUCACAUACAGAACUCAUUUCAGCAUAAAUAUCACAUCCAUACCAAUAACAGUACAAUUAAAUUUAUUACAUCCUAGAAUGUGAGAGUACGAUCUGGUACAUGCCCCUUGGGCUUAACGACAUGAAUAAAACCAACGCAACAGUAGCUAGCUUCUGGAAGCAUUCCUAUCUUCACAAUCAACUCCACAGACAUUCUUGAUCGUAGCACUGCAACCCUCAUCGUACCAACUGUCGUGGUUGAUGUCGAAGUCGGACUCAUAACCUGCAAACUCACGAGCUGUCCCCAAGGAUUGGGACAGGUUCACGUCACCAUCCGUAUGCAAGCUUUAAGUGGCCUAGUGCUUGUGAUCAAAAAUAUAUUCAAGGAAUAGGCUCGGGUUUCCUAUGCAGCAAGCAUAAAGAAUAAAACUCCAUAUCCAUCAUCCCAAUCUCUCAACACAUCGGGUACACCCGUCUUGACAGGUUCCCUAUCACCAUCAUCCUAUCUCCAUACUAGGGUCAAGGCAAAGACUCCCUCUUUUUGCCUCUCAACAACUGUAGCCGGAUCCUAAAGGGAAAGGGAGCAACUUCCCCUCUUCCCGACUGCAAUUGCGGCUCACAACACACAAGUAGCUAUAAGGGGGAGGUAGAGAUUUCCCAAAAAUAAUGGAGAGUCAUCGCGACACAGGGUUGUCCAUGACUGAGGACACAGCUAUACUUAUAGUUUUAACUCUGCAGAAUGUGUACACCUGGACCCAUCUUGGAGUGAGACAACCGGGGAUCAGCCGACUAAACAUCACCCUACCGGGCGAAGAACCUGGGAGUUACGAUACCAUCCUACAUCCAGGCUCGGAUGCGAUCCCCCACAGAGGACCACUCCAGAACUAUGAAGCACUCCCACCGGGGCCAAUCGGGGGCAAAAGGUCAGCACCACUCCCCCCUACACUGAUACUCUAUCUUACGGCAGGUAUGGUACCGCACUUGCUAGUCUCAACCCGGGCCUAGACCCAUAAUUCAACGAGUGGCGUGCACGUUUAACAUAUUCCCGUGAAGCAUGGCGACCCACUUGGUUUCAGACCGGGGCGAGCUCCUAACUCCCAAAAGUGUCUCCACAACGUAGUCCGCAACGGCACCCAUAACAGGUAUCACCACCAACUCCUAUGCUCCUCAACUUUAUACUCACAACAAGUACCAAACAGGGAACAUCCGAGAACGGACCCCAAGCCCCCAAUCCAUAGAUUGGGUUGUGUAAAGCUCACCCCCGUCAAGUAUCCCAAAAUCACCUUCUCCUGCCGGUUUUAACCCCACACACGCCAAGAAUCCUAAUCACAAUAUCCCAUACACAUGCAAGCAUCGCACACCAUGCAUAUAAGUAGCAUAGUAGUAGGUCAAACAAGGAUAUAAGGCAUAAAGAAGGCUAUGCAAGCUUUAUCAUCAUCAUGCGAGGAAUAAAGCGCUAGCAUACUAAUUUAGCAAUGCCUAAUGGGUAUUCAAAUAGAAUGGGCAUGAACCUGAGUAGUCUUCCUCCUCAUAGUAGUCCUCAAAUGGCUCUAGCUCUGGGUUCAGCUCCGAGUCUCCGGCAACUCCUAAUUACACAAUUACUAUAAUUACCGGAUGUCUAGUUGCAAAGUAAAUCCAAAAGAGAUCCAAAGAAGAACCAAACAAGAUCAAAGCGUAGUCUAACACGUGUUUCAAUAUUUUACAGAAAUUAUGAAACUGGUUUCAUAAUUUUUGGAAUUAGAAUGACUUAGUUAUGACUCUUUGAAGUUGAAAACAUUUUCUGAAGUUUUUGUAUGAUAGGCAAAAACAAGAAAUCAACGGGGUUAGCUGUUAACUGGUUGUAGGUCAGCUGCAGUCCAGAUGCAAGCUGCCACAAAAGUUCGCAGGUAGCUUUGGAGGGUUUUUAGGCCGGUGGCUAAGCUGUCGUGAGGUGUUUCUAGUUUCUGGGGUAAAAACCGGAAGUUUCAACUUUGGAAAACCGGAAGUUCUGAUUUGGGGUAACUGGAUGUUCCGAUUUUUAGCUCACUCAAGGAGGUCUCCCGGGAAGAACUCUAGAUGCUCUGGAUAGAUCAAAACUGAAUGUUCUCGUUUGGGAACUGGAAGUUCCGGUUUUCUACGAGUAGAUCUCUCCCCUUGGGGAGAUCUCCUGGGAAAGACCUUGGGAUAGUCCUGGGAAGUUAGGGUUCACCAUUCAUGGGUUUGGGGUUCGUUUGGCUGAGACUUUCUAAGGUUUUUGGAGCUACUGCAGGCUGAACAGAGCAGAACUGGAAGUUCCAAUUUUGCCAAGGGUUCGGCCGUGAUGGGCUUUGCGCGCGUGGGAGCGCGCGGCUCAGGCCUCAGCUGCGAUGAAGGUUCAUGCAGGCAAGCGGAAAUCGUGGUGCUCACCUGGUGGGCUUGCUAGUGAGGGAAAGAUGGCGCGUGGUGAGGUGAAGCAGUGAUGGCGGCGCGGGCUUGGCGGCUCUCCGGUGGGGCAACAGCGGUCUCCUCCUCCUCCGACGUCUUCUCCCCGUCUCCUGUGCCCCCCCUCCUUCCUCCUCCUUUUCUCCAAACGGCGACGGGUGAAGGAGAAAACCUCAAUUGUGGAUGAGGCCAGGUGUAGAUGGUGUGGGGGUUCAAAAAGGUGGUGGCUAGGGUUUUGGGCGGUUUGGACGGUAGGGGAUUGUGUCUAGAUGGCGUGGUAAGCAUCCACGGGCGCCAGCGCAAAAGUGGCAAGGGCGGCCGGCAUCGUGCAUGGCGUGCACGUCGCUGUCGUGCUCGUGCCACGCGCGUGCACACCGUGGGGAGGAAAGGGGAAUAGUGGUACGGGUGGCUAACAUGUGGGGUCGAGCAGUCAGCGACUGCAGCGCGGAGGCGGUCUGGGCAGAAAACCGGAGGUUCCAGUUUUGGAAAAUUAGAAGUUCCGGUUUUUGCACCGGCCUUAGGUUGGGUUGUUAAUUAGGUGGGCUGGUGGGGUUAGCUGGGUUGGUUUGGGCCUCGGUUAGAUUUAGUUAGCUUUUCUAGUUUGAUUUAUAUUUGAAUUCCAAUUCAAAUACAAAUCCCACCCAAAAAAUCCAAAUAAAUUCCAAAUGAACUCCAAAUAUUCACACUAGCACAUAAUGCACCUUAGCGAUUCAAUUUAGUUUACAAUAUAAUUCUAAGAAUUUUGGGAAAGGUUCAAUGACGACAAUCUUAUAGUUUGGAAAAAUUCACACCACAUCACAAAAUUUUUGAAAUCCACAUUUUUGCAAAUUCAAACAUGUCGUAAAAAUACGAGAUGUUACAGAAACUGAAAAGAAAUACGACUUUGCAAGUGCAGAAGAAGAUGUGUAUAAAGAAGGCAUUGCAUCCAUUGAAAAUGUGAGGAAUGGUGUUUAUUUUUGACAUAAUUAUCGAUCAAUGGCUAUUGCUAUGGAGGACAAAAUAAAUGGAAACAAAUUGAAAAACAAAAUGGUGGAAUUUGGGUCCAAGAUGAGUUCGAAGUGGAACUCCAUGGUUGCAGCAAUACAAUACAUCCAUACAGUUUGGAGUGAAGCUCAUAAUGAAGUGGCCCAAUCUCGAAACAUCAUAGAUAAACAUGAAAUGACAUCAGAAAUAGUUAACAAUGUUGCUAAUCUACUCACAAGGAGCUCAUAUGGAUUAGAACCUAAUAUGCGUAGAUUUGAAGCAGCAUCUAUUUGAGUAGCUUGUAAGAGUGAAUCUGUAUGUAUAAAACAUUGUAGGCGUACUUGGUGUAAGUUAAGUUUUGCAAUUGUACGCUCAUCCAAGCAUCAUUCAUUUUGUUGUGGUAAAGAAUUAGUUGUACUGAAUUAUAUUUGCAAGAUAUAUAUUUACUUAUAAGUUAUAGUGCAUUAUAUACUAACAAUAAUCAACUGUUCGCCUCAUGACGUGAUGUCUGGAAUGACACCAAUCUACAAAUUUAUGCAUGUAUCACCUCUUUGCGAUGAAACCUUCACAAAUUUGAUGUACGUCAGUAUGUGAAGUAACCGAAAGAAAAUAGAGGAUAGCUGAAGUCGUAAAACAAGGCCACCUGGUGAUACAUGGCUUUAUUUGAUCAGCUGGUAAGCUGCGUCAUGUCAAGGUGCUCUUAAGAGUGAAUGUAGAUAUAACUAGGACCCUCUUCUUUACUUUCAGAAUAAGGUAGCCCUGGUUCUCCAGUUUGGCUAACUCUACUGUUUACUAGGUUUGGCAUCACGAACAAGACUGACUGCUCGGAGCCUCGGAACAACAUAUCUAAAAGUUACUCGAUGGCGCUUGUAUCUUCCAUGAUUAGUUCCAAGAUGUAUGUAAGUAUCUAAUGAGUAUGAGUACUACAAUUUGCAGUAAAUAUGUUUUAGUACUUUCUCUACGCAGUUUCAGCACGGUGCAAGUGUUUCAUUUUGCAUAUAGUAUUUACGAAUGAGGUGAUGAAGUUUUUUCUUUAUACUGAUCAUUGCAGAUCAACGCAAGUAAAGUGGUAGUCAUUCGUCCUCGUGUCAUUUUAUGCAAAGCAGUCAACGGAUUGAACGGAUUUGACCCUGUAUUUACAAACACGUCUACAUGCCUAGAUAAAUUCAAGUACUCCAUUUCAUUUGAUCUUCCAACCUCUGCAGAAACAAAUUAACUGGUGGCAAUCUAUUCUUUAAUAGACACGAUGUUGAAGAUAGCGCUGUUCAAAAUGUUUUUAUGAAAUUGUAUGAAGAAUAUGGAUAUAUAGUAGAGGACUAUAGUUCUAUCCAAGGCAACAUAUGUAGGCUGAGAUACCAUGAUUUCAUUCAUAAGGUAAAUGAAAGCAAGGCUAGAUAUCAGGAAAUCAAGGAUAACUAUUUGAAUGUAAUGGGACAACUUAGAAUAGUGUCCGAUAUGUUCGGCACUGUAGCAUGCAGUUUGGAUCAAUCCAAAGUAAAUCAAAAAUAUAGAGAUGCACUCAUAUCUUGUUCUAAAGAGUUUCAAAGAAUCCGUCAUGCUGGUCUGAAGCAUAUGGAUGGAUUCAACACGCGUGUGUUCCUGAAUUGCGAUGCAGAAAAUUCAUCAUUUUCAACUCGUGAUGUAGAAAAUUCAUCAUCCAACGCAAUUAGUGGUGUCAAACAGGUAUCCAUUAUACUGGGUAUUCCUUUUAUAAUUACGAAUGGUGUGGUAAUAUAAUAGGAAGUUGUUUUACAAUGUACCAUUUGAUUAUUAGUGUAAUGCAAGUAUUCUUCGAUAAAGGUUCACAGAACUGAGGUUAAACAUGCUCUUGGGUGAAGUUGUGAAAGUAAUGGGAUUUGAUAAGCCUAACAUCACAGUAGAUGGGAGCCAACAAUCAUAUAACUACGUGGCAACCGUGAUCAUAAAAAAAAGGUGCAAAUGAAGCAGUGGUGAAAGGAAUUGGGGUAAAUACUUUAUGCAGAGAUUCCCAAUACAAUGCUACCUACAAUGCAUUACUUGUAUUAGAAACGGAAUUCCAUGUGGUCAUAAAGGACGUGAACUAUAGCUAUUAUUUGAUGAUGUUUGGUCGUGUGAAGGAUAUGGAAAAUAUCUUGACCUUAAUUGCUAUUAUCUGCAACGAUGUUGAUGGGGAUCUUUGUCAGAUAGGUUCUCUAGUUAGCAUGAAUGAAUGUAGUAAUAACAUGCUUGUUAAUCAUAGUGAAUUUGGUAGUAUCUGUACUCAGUGGUUUUAGACAGUGAAAACAGCAUUGGAGAGAAAUCAGGAAAUCAUGAGAGCAAAGGUUGCUCUAGUCAUGGAAAAUGCUCGUAUUGGAACUAUCCGGUUUUGACAAGUGACGGUAUCUGAUGAAAGCAGCAUUCUUUACAAUCAUACAUGGUUUGAAAUUAUAUACAUAGUUUGGAUACUGUAAUAAAUCCGAGUAUACUUAAGCCCAAUCGUGUAAUAAAAAUGUGGGCAUCAUGUGUUGUUCGAUUUUGUUUUACAUUGUUUCAUGUUGAUUAAUUCUGUGUGGUAUAUGAAUUAAUUAGUUGUUAUGAUUCGUCAAUUGUUAAUAUGUGUUGUACCACUAUGUAGGCCAUAGGAGUGAAUGAAUGUUAUUUAUCCAUUUACUUUACAAAGAUGCUACAUAUAUUACAAAACCAUAAAUUAAGAUGCGAAUGCAAUAAUAAAAUUCAGGGUCGCAAUCUCAUUAGCUGUAGCAUAGAAGAUCUAAUUUUCUCUGAGCUUAGGUAGCUGACGGGCCACAUAAUUAUUGUGCCUGUUUUAGACACUAUCUAGUUGAAUACUAAAGUGAUUUAGAUUUGGAUCCAGCAAAAUCGCAAUUCUGUACCCAAUAAGAUACAAUGCCACGUUCCUCAACGGUGCAAAACUACCUGUGAAUAGAAAUCGUCUUUUCCUUCGGCCUAAUUGAGGUGGUACUUAGUUUUACGGGCCAAGAAGCUAUCCAAUCCAAGAGACAUAUACUCGUAACAAAUUUCAAAAUUAUAUAAUUGUUUACACUUAAGUAAAUACGCAUGGAAUCUAAGUAUCCCUUCUUGUACAUAUUUUUAUUAAACAUUAUUAAUCUCUUUGUUUCUAUGUACUGCAUUCCUUUUUUAUGAAAAUACUGAAAUAUCCUACUUAAGCGGGGAUUGUACAAGAUGGCUUCACAAUCAUACGAGUAAAUGAAUAAUUUUUUUAUAUAUCACGACAUUACUCUUAACGCCAGGUCUAAUUUACUGCAGUAAAACUUGGCUGAUUCACCUGUUAUUUACCGCAUGUCGUAAUACGAGUGAAACACCAUCCUAAGGUGACACGCAAUGCGUGGUGACAUACGUGUCAUUUUUUUAGAAUCGAAUUAGAUGUGCAUGGCUAGACGCAUGUCGUCCUAUACUGUGAACAAAUAAAUAUAUAGCGUUCCCGAUCCAGCACCGCUAAAAGAAAUUGCAUGCAAGGGAAAAGAUAAACUUGGUAGAAAAUGGAGAGUUCAAGGAAAGCAGAGUUGAAGUUGCUUUUGCUUAGUGUCCAGCAUGAUGCCUCCACCGCACCAGGUAUCAACGCUCCUCGUGUCUCAUUGUCAAUUACGAAUCACGUGUUGUGCAUAUUUUUACUGAAAAAUGUACUAUGCAUGCCAAAAAUAUUUUCCAAUUCUUUAGUUAGUAGUAGGAAAAAAAUCAGAAUCCAUUAUUGCUUUAGAUUCAUGUGCAGGUAGUUGCGUCUUUUUUGGUUGACUAUUUAAUUCGAUUGUCAAUGUUGAUUGAGUUAUCUAUGAUUGAAUUGAUGAGCGGUUGAUUAUUUAAUUCCAUUAUCAACACUGAUUGAGUUAUCUAUGCUUGAAUAGGUGACUGCAAACGGUGGAACACGUAUCUACUGCUUUUUUUUUACGUGAAUCUAUAUAAAUGAGGUUUAAAUAGAUGUUCCAUGUCAUGUAGGCUACUCGAGUUGUAAAGAUUAGUCAUUAACUUUUACUUCGUGAGCUUUGCAAGGAGCUGAAACUGGAUGCUCCAAGUUUUGGAACUGAGUCCUCUAGUGGUACCAGUGUUGUUGGUAGGGUUUAGAUUACGUAUCACAGGUCUGAUGAAGAAACCGUAUUAUGGCGCUACAAAGUUACUGGCUCGGUAGAACCGGAUGCAUCUGCUGCUCUAGAAGUUGUUGCUACAAAAGCAAUUGAAUUUUUAAAGAGUAGAAUUAGCAACGACGUAGAAGAUUUUAACUAUCCAAGAUUCUAGUCUCUGCUUUUUACCCAUGUGUGCCUAAAGGAAAAUGGUGCCUACAGGUACAUCCCAUCACCCCCGCUUUUUUUCGGAAACCAUGCGCACGAUCCCGUUCUAACCGCAGGGAACGCCGCGCCUCCUCACCCCACGCGCCCGGCAUUAUCUGUCGCUUUGCCUCCCGGAGGUCAUGCGCACAAACGUCUCCCACAAGUGGCCCAAGGCGCGCUUCAGGUAAAAAGGGAUACAGAGCUGAAAACGCUCUUACGGCCCAUUACGGUCCAGGGGUUCGAAGGCUAGCCCUCCCAAGGGUUCGACAGCUGCCCCAGGACAGUUCCCGAGCAAGGGGUGAGACAGGACAGGUCCGCUAGUGGCCUCUACCCUGGCGAACGAAAGCCAAGGGCAUCCUGACCUCACGUUCGAGUCCCGACUGGCGAUUAAGUUCAUGGUUUUUCCCCGAAGAAAGGCAACGAGCCCUCGGAUCCGGUCGAACGGAUCCGGGAACUAUAUGAAUUGGCCGUCCAGAACCAGGAAUACGCCACCAGCUUGGCCCAAGCCGGACCCUCCCCCCCUAACGGGGACCGGAACUCCACUCGAACUGAUCCGUUAGCAGCUCACCGAGCACCAUGGUUCGUCCGACGAGGAUAACAUGGCACGGCUCAACCCCUCCGUCCAACCGAACGGAUGCUUGAGGGGCAACGAUUAAAAGAUGAUCCGACCUCUCGGUCGGUCUCCUGCAGCGCACGGGGGCUCAAGGGCUGGAAUCGCAAAGAAACGGCCACGCGUGUGGUCAUGUUCAGUCAUCAGGCAGGAGUGAUAAGCGGGACAAUGGGAAUCUUCCCAAAACUGCACCAUCCUCAGAGCACCCUGCCUGCCCGAAACUCCCCGAUCAGGCCAACGGCGAAACGUUUUCCCUGACCAAACCCAGCUACGGGUUAGACAAAGACUCCAGACAAACACUCUGCCCAGAGCCAAUCAUAGCCUCUGGAGGAGCACCUCACUCCACCAGAGGCUCGGGGGCUACUAUCGGGGAGAAAUAUUAAUGACCUCCUUAUGCUCCCUAAUCAACGAUCGUAAGGGCCAGGGCCCACCCCCAGCAUCCGUAAUCUCCACCGACCAAACACACCCUGGAGGUACCUCGCUCCGCCUCGCCCGACCCCGAACGCAAGGGGUCGGAUGCGCCCGACCCCUCGAAGCAAGACUCCGCCUCACCCAACCCAAGGCGCAAGGGGUUGGAUGCGCCUGACCCCUCGAAACAAGAUUCCGCCUUGCCCGACCCCGGGUGCAAGGGGUUGGACGCACCCGAUCCCUCGAAGCAAGACUCCACCUCGCCCGACCCCAGCGCAAGGGAACGGAUGCACCCGAUCCCUCGAAGCAAGAAUCCACCUCGCCCGAAGGCAUGUGCAGGCCAUCAAACGGAGGCACAGGUCUUGUGGGUCCCCCGGAUCUCACCAAAACAUAAUCGAUGGGACGCGCACGCUCUAGGAUACGAUUCUGACACAUGGAGAGGUGCCCGCAUUCUUCGACAUGACCUGUCGGAAUGAUGGGCUGCACACUGCUGCCACGAUAGCAUAGGACUACAACUGCACCGCCUUAUCCCUCUGCGACGCCUGUCAUAGGGCACUCAUCGCCCAUACUGUCUAAACGAAGGAGGGCAAACCGCCUGGUUUCCUGCGCAGCCUCGCAAGAAGUGCACAUCAACCGCACCGCCCUGUCAGAACACAUGACUAUAGUGGCCGGCCGCUUCCUGCCACUUACACGGCUAUAGUGGCCGGUCGUCACCACCAACUUGCGCGGCUAUAGUGGUCAGCCACCAUAUGUGACUCGCGUGCUCGGCUACAGUAGCCAACCGCCAAAUCAUCGAUGGGACCCAACAGCAACCGCCCUUUCCUAGUAGCAGUACCGACAAGACGCAGAGACAAGAAAGGAAGACGGCUUCUCCGGUAGCUCCUCCCGCUUUCUUGUUUUACCUUUUUACCUUUCUUACUCCCGGCUCAUUUUGUAACCCCUGUGUCCUCCUUACACUAUAAAAGGGGACCAGGGGCCCGAGGGAAAAGGAGAGGCCCGAACAACAGAACAACACCGAACGCACACAACAGCUCUCGUAGAAUCCUAGUGCUCAAGACACUUUGAGCAUUGGCAACACCCACAGAGACCUAGGAACCAGCUUCCCUCUCUCACCCGUUUGUAGACCCUACUGCAAACUUGGUACGAGUAACACGAGCAGCCACCCACACUGGAUAUAGGGCUAUUCCUGCUUGAACCAGUCUAAUCCACGUGUCCUCCCGUACAACCAUCCGAGCCUAACGCGUAGAGAAAACAAAUUUACUAAGCUGGUAGUCUCGACCCGUGAUUCUUGACACCAACAGCAGUAGCUAGAACCUGUAAAAGUAGUGCUUGACUUCAUGUAGUGGAGUCAGAACGCUGUUAUAUUACGUAGUGUGUGUGAAUCAAAUGUGGAUCGCUUAGUAAAAAGUACUUGCAAUAUAUAAAGCAUGCAAAUCACUAUCUAAGUUCGAUCAUUUGCAAAACAGUGUAAAAUAGAGUAGUAGAGCAACGCUGGAGCACUGUAAGAAGCAGUUUGUAAUUUUAAUACCUUUUCUAUUAUAUAUAUGUAUAUAAGUAACAUUAUCUAGCAUUUUUUUAAAUAGCGAUGAAUCAUCAUUCAAUUGUUUGCUACAUUGCUCUAUUUUCCAAUGAUGAAGCCUAAGACCUAAUUGCAAAAUUAAGCAUGAAUUCAAGUGUAAUUCGGGGACUUGAGCAUGCAAGUAAGCACAUUAAGAUCUAAUCUGGAAACAUUAAUAUAAAUAAUCAAGAAAUUAGACUUAUAGCCGAAUUUAAGCAUAAACCCCAAAUAAUUUAGAGCUAAUAGCACUUGAAAUUGCACUUGUUCAUUCCAGUGUCUUUGAUUUCUAAUAUACAUUGUUUAUAUUGUACCAGUCGUACCUCAAAUCAGAAACACGCUAAUUCCUGAAAUCUAAGCAUGCCAUUUCUCACUAAUUGUACUAUGGUACUAUUGCUCAUUGUGAUAGGUAGAAGCUUUUGAAGGAUCAUGGCCAGCGAAGAAGGUCGCGUGGAUUAGUCGAAGGAUUUUAUUUAAUGAAGUGUGCACCAGUUUGAAUAUCUAUUCACCUUUAUACAUUCAAGAUUAGCUUCUGGUGGCAUGUACUUUGGAUUAGUUGUCAUCUACAUUUCCAAUACUGGAAACCCCGAUGGAAUACGAUCUUGCAGAUUGACCUCCCGAGCCUGAAAAAACCUAGGAAGAAGCGCUAGAAGCUGCAGCUGUUCUAGAUAUUAAACCCAUAAAGCGUGAGCUUAACAUUGAAAUUGAUGAUCUGAGCUAUGAAGCAAAAGAAAUUCUUGAAGAAAGGCAAAAAGUUUUCAAAACUCAGAUGUCAAGACUUGAUGCAACAUCAGCUGAACUGAUAAAGCAGGGAAGGUCAGCAAGAAACAUAUGGGCAACUACGCUCAAAGACAUGAAAGGUGUAGCUAAUAUGUGUGCCAAUGGUUCCAUUGUGCAUCAAGGAGCAGACGAGAACGUUCCACUACACUCUGAUGUUGUGGAUGGCGGUAUUGAUCCAAAUCACAUCAAAAUCAUCCUUAAGCAGUGUGCAGAUGCUAUAAUUGAAGCACAUGGUUGUCUCGAAGCUGACUACAAUAAUAAUGGGUAUGUAAAGAGGAGUGACUUAGAUUUUAUUUCGAUACUACAUUGAUUAAUUCAAUGGAAUGAUACGUUAAAAUAAUUGCAGAUGGCCCCAGUAAUGGGAAGGAAACAAGGAGUGAUACACUGAAGAUGCAUACUCUAUGAACACCAAUGAAGUUCUGUCAUAUAAAUAUGAAGUUAGUUUAAAUCGUCAUCGUUGUAUCUGCAAGUACACUACAUCCGGUCUCAAAUAGUCUAUGUAGUUUGGAAGUCUAUGUAUUCUAAAUAAUGUAAACUCCGCAGUGGAGUAGCUAGUUUGUUAUGUCUAUAUAUUAUACAAUGCGUGUUGUGUGCACACCUUAGUAUUACUGCAUCAGAUGCUACUGUAAAUUUGAAUAAAUUAGUUUGCAUAUCCUUGUGCCUGCGCAGAUUUUAUACGAUUUUAUUAUUUAUUAAUCAAAAUUAUUAGCACAACCAAUUUAAAUAUAAUGUGAUUAUAAUUUAGAUUAUUGACGUAAGUAUAAUUAAAUUAGAAACCUGUACAGAAAAGUGUGCACACAAAAGUUCAAAGGAUGUGUAGAGUGUGAGAGUCAAAGUUUGGUAAUACAAACUUGGAACGUUAAUUAUUAAUUCAAAAUAAUUGUCCAAAAUUUGCAUUUAAUACACAUUCAUCGACUAAGAAAUGAACACUACAGUCUCAUUUGUGAUUUAAUCAGCAUCUUCAUCUAUCUGCGAAUUAAAGCCAUGAUUCUAAAUACUAAUCCAGGUGGGUCCUCAGCUGAUGCGCCAUCCAGAUUGUUCACACUCAUUAAUCCUAAAUGACACACUGCAGCAGCGCACCGCAAGACAGUAUCGUUAGAAUUGGAAAAAAUAGAGAGAGAGCAACUUAAAUCUAUGAAACAACAUUUCUAUUCUGCACAGAAACUCCAAUGAAUCGGAUCUGGUUACACACAAUGAAACAAGGUCAACAAAAAAUUGGAGUUAUCGAACCCUAUGUUCAGCAUUUUUAGCUCUACAAUUACUGUCAAUCCUGAUGUCGCAAACCAUGUGAAAACCCCUCCAGCAUAGUACAUGAUAUUCUUCUUGAAAAUUCCAACAAUCUGAGUUACCAUCAACUUGAAAAUGGAAGAUGAAGUCUAAAAACGUAGUAGUGAUGUUCCUGUUCGAAUAUGUCAAUACACCCUUAUAAGGUACUCGAAAAAAAAGAGGAAAGUAGGAUAUGGAUUGGCAGCGAACGGCAUACUGUUCGUAUAAGUAACUUAAAGUUGAAACAUAUAUUUUCUAAGAAAAACCGAAUCAAUUCAGAAAUACAUCACAGAUAAAGCGUGGAUUUCACAAAGACAUCAACUACGAAAUAACUACUAAGAUCCACUAAAGGGAUAGAUCCCAUUCCCUUUCCAUUCAAGCUAAUACUUUCUUCUUCAUGUGGACAUGAUUCCUUCUCCCCGCGAUUUGCAAAAGUAUAUGAAGAUGCAGACUUCCUAUGCCGCCUCCGGUAGAUUGAAAUAAAAACGCAUAUUCUUUAGAUUUUAAUUAUCUAAUUCCACACUUUGCUCAUCUUCAAUUUCACCAAAAGCUGCUUAAUACGAGUAAUGUAAAAGUUAAACAAAGAAAUGAAGUUCAAGCAAGUAAAGGAAACGUAGCUCAUGGUAACUUAUCAAACAAUUCAAAUGAAAUACUCUUGAUUUUACUAAAAAGACAUAGAAGCUAGAGGACAAUUAUGCAAACCUAUAUAAGCAUCUAAACUAAAACUUCUAGUGCAGUAAAAAAAUAGAGAAUAGAAUCGAAAGCUGAAUCUUUGUAGAUCGGUAAUGGUGAUACCAUAAAGUGAAUUGGAGUAACUAAAGCGCACACAGCUCAUGAUAACCUACAAAACAAUCCAAAGUCAGUACUUUUGGUCCUACUUCAAAGGUGCAGAACCCAAAGCACAACUAUGCGAACCUAUGUAAGCAUUUAGAUCCAAACUGCCGGUACAAUAAACAAACUAAAAGAUAAAACUAGAGGCCGAAUCAUUACAUACCAUUAGUGGUGCCACCGUGAAGUGGAGUAUCCGUAGGGAGUAUAGUACCAUCACUAUUAAGUACACCAAGUGAGAAAAUUUUUGUCACUUUAGGCCUUGGUGUCGAGUGACCACUUUCUUUAAAUCCAGGGUAUUCGUCAUCAGAAUCACUCAUAGUUGGAUCUGGUAAGUAAUCACCAUCAUCCGACGAGUCUGAUGAAUCAUGCCAAUCAUGAACCUCAAGAACCUUAAUAGCAACUCAAUAUCGCAGCCCACGUUGUUCAUGCUGUAUAAUGUCCUCUGGUCGCAAAUAUAAAUCUGCACCAGCAUUCGGAUCAUCUAGCUCUGGUAUAAAAAUAUCAACCUCGUUAGGCAAUUUGUCAGGAUCAACACACUAGAUACACCUCUAAAAAUCGUCAAGUCAGCUUUUGACAAUGUGCCUAGAGUUGGCUUGAAACCACUGCAUGAUCCACCAAGAAUGCGCUCCACAACGGGUAAAGACCGAGCAUGUGAUGGAAUCCCCUUCAACUCUAAAAGUGUUCGUUAUAGCAAACAGAUUGAUGGCUCCAACAUUUGAAUUUGAAUACCAAGUCUACUACUGCCAAAGGAGGUGCAUGGAGGACACGCUCUAAUUUCUGAUGCUCAGAAAAUAUAAUCAAGAAAUUUUGGUCAUAGUAAAGAUGCAGAGUGUAGUCAUUCUCUGUGAGUGCAUACCUCUCCUGGAGAAGUGUAUGUACUUCGGCAACUGUAAAUGAUGAAUAGUCUCCAAUAGCAAUGAUAAUAAGAGCAUUUUGCAGCAAUUGCUCCUCUGCAACAAUAUGUGGCAUUCUAGGAACAACACAAACUUCCAAUGCUAGACAUCAUGAUGGAUGUCCCCUUAGAAGAGGUUAUGGAGACGGUGACUUCUCCCAAGAGUGCUGAGAAAGAAAUCCCUUGUCAUCUAAUUAUGCUCUUGUCGAUGCACCAACCGAAGAUAACGUCUCAGGGUGUGUAGUAUCAGAGGGUAAAGUCCGCUGAACAACUACUUUUGAUUCCAUCAAGCUUAACCUAUAAAUAAUAUCGUCUAGAGGCCAUGUUGGAACCUUCAUCUCCAAAAGCGCAAUGGUCCUCUUCAUUGCAUCGAUCUCCUCCCGCUGCCUUGAACACAUCUCUCUAAGGAGGUUUACCUCACCCCUAUCACCGAUUACUUCAUUAUGUGUCAUAGUUUUACACCAAUUAUUGAAGACCAACAAAUGUACAACCGAAUCAGUUGCACCCAACACAUGAACUGAGGCUACAAAUAAGAGCAUAAAAAAUAAGAACAUAAUAUCAGAGAAGGAACCAAUGAACUAAAACUAAAAUAGAUCUACCCACAUAAACAAGGGAGAACGAUCUGACACAAUGCAUUAGACAAAGCAGUAACCACAAUGGCACCAAAUGAAAUAAGAUAAAGCAUCGCGGUAAUGCAACAUUCAGGGCAAACCAACAAGAAGGCAACAUGGAAACACAAUAUCGACAGAAGAAAAUAAAGAAGAUAGGAUUUCGAUCGCAUACAUCGCUUAUCACCCACCAAGAAGGUAUGGAAGAAGAGCGGAACCGGUGACCAAGCUUCCACCGAUGGGACGAUUUGCAAACCGCGAAAGAAGCUUGGUCAAAGACGUGGCGGUAGCGUUGAAAAUCAGCGGUGGAGAAAGGAAGGAGCGAGACGAUAAUGGAGACGAAUAAACAAAGAAAGGGGAACGGUGUCUCGGAAUGCCCCUACUAUUGAUGUGAUGGGGGACUCUUUAGAAAAUUAUCUGCCGAAAUAGUGCCUCCACCAAAGGAGAGUGGCAACAGUUCUUCAAAGAAGAAGGGAGCCGAUGCCUUGCGGAAAUGGCGCAUCAAAGCCGGUAAGGCUAUGUUCAUGCUUAAGACAACUAUUGUGGAGGACCUACUGGAGCACAUCUGAGAUGCGGAGACCCCAAAGGAAGCUUGGGAGACUCUGGGGAAAUUAUUCUCCAAGAAGAAUGAAGCACACCUCCAGCUUCUAAGAAAGAGCUUGCGGGUAUCUUACAAGGCACUAUGAGCAUUAAUAACUACUUUACUAAGGUGAAGAAUAUAUGUCAGGAGAUAUCUCAGCUUGACCUGGAGGAGAAGGUCAGCGAAGCUCGGAUGAGAAGGAUCAUCAUCAACGGCCUAAGACCCGAGUACAGUGGGUUUAUGGCUGUAGUGAGUGGAUGGCCAGUACAGCCAUCCUUGGUGGAGUUGGAGAACUUAUUAGCUAAUCAGGAGGCAUUAGCUAAGCAGAUGUGCAACAUCACUUUGGAAGAGAAGGAUGAAGAGGAGGCGCUCUUCAUCAGAAAGAAGGGUUCACCAAGAGGCCGAGGAGAGGCGAAGGAGUGGACAAGAGGUGAUAGGAGUUGCCCAAAGAAGAGCAGCUAUUCAGGGGGAGCUCAAUGUAACAACCAGACUGUUAAAGGCUUAAGAAUGAUUCUUAAAGUGUUAAAGGUGAAAUUGGGAUGAAAAUAAGAUAUUGGGGCCAAAGUCAAGUUUGGGUCAAAUUUCACCAAAAAUACAAAUUAAGAUUCAAAACCAAAGAAAUUCGACAAAAAUAUGAAGUCAAGCCUUGAAGGUAUUUAGAAUUCAAAGGAAUCAAAUUGGAAGUAAAAUUCAAGUCAUAAGCACCUCAAAUUCAUAGUCAAAGAUGGAUUGACUUGGAAGUACUGUUCAUGGUCUGAAAAUACAAGUCUGAAAUUAGUGACAAUUAGCCAACUUUGAAUUUAAUUUCUAGCAGAAUUUUCAUUGAAGCUAGGAGAUGUUUUAGAACACAAGAGGACUCUGAUCUAUAGUGAAUCUAUUGGACCUGUUAUUGGUCAGAGAAAACAAAGAAUCCAUAUUUUAAAUAGGGUUCAAAGUUUGAAAGUUGUGCAGUUUUCAACUUAGCUGCUGAAUUGAAUCUAAGUCUGAAAAUAGUGUCAAGUAUGCAACUUUGAAAUUCAUUUCUGGAGAAUUUUUUAUAUACACUCUGAAAGACGUUGAAUCCUAAGUGAACUAUGAUGUCCAAUAAAUAUUUUGAGCAUGUUUUUGGACAAGGAAAGAGAAGGAUUCAAAUUUUUCUUGAAGCUCAAAUUGUGAAUGUUACCCUGUCAGUUUAACUGACGAAGCUGAAUGGCAGUCGCCAUUCAGUCCUAAGGACGGUGCAAAAUUGCAAUUUUUAGCUUGAGAUUUUGGAAGAAAUUGUAUGUAAGGGUUGGGCUUUCAUAUGUGAAAUGGAACCCCUGUCCUAUGGUUGACAAGAUCCAGUAGUUGUUGGGCAACAAAAAUUGAGUUUGAAUGGUUGAAUUGGAGAUCAAAGUUGACACCUCGGACUGUCGGGUGGUGUCUGACGAAACUGAAUGCAGAAGGACGAUUCGGUGCUAAAUGACAGAACCCUAGCCCAAUAUUGGAGUUAAAAUUCGCGGGGAUGGAGUGAUCUUUGGCAAUUGAGGCAAAUCAAUCAAAUGUAGAGCACAUGAUCCUCUACAAUUUUGAUUAAAGAAAUUCUUGGAGCUUGAAUUGGGUUUUGGUCGCAAAAGUGAGUUGAUUUACAGUGGAAUUUGGGGAAAGAAGGGGAGGAACAGAGUCGGCCGGUGCUACCAGGUUGUUCGCCAUUGAUGUCAAGAGCGGCGCCGCUGUGCCACGUGCCAGCACCGGCAAGAGGCGUGAAAGCAAGCAGCAAGCAGGAGGUGGCGCUCGGGAAGGCGGUAAAUCUUUCAUAUAAUUACCGCUCCCGCCGGCGAGCGUUAUCCGUUUAUUGCAUGCUCUGUUUUUUCACCUUACUCUCGAUCGCCGUCCUACUCCGCCGUCAUUCCCCCAUUGCUAGCCACUCCACCUCACCAAGAACCACCGCCAUGAGCUCCUGAGCUAGUCCCGUCAGCCGUUGUCUAGCUCUAGUUCCCACAGUCACCACCCCCGUCGUCUUCUUCCUCAGUGCCGGCCGCCGCUCGGGUCUGGUAAGAGCGCUGCCGUGGAGAGCUUGGUACAGAAGCUAUGGUCGUGUUCCGGGGGUUUGGGUAGGUCAUGUAUGAGCUCUAGAUGGGUUAAGUUGUGCUUGUUGGCUUGGAGUUCCACCGGCUUGGCCGGAACACUCACGCUGCCAUGCGCCAAGCUUUGGCUAUGGCCGCCGCCGUGGAGCCUUCUGCUCCCGCCGCGGGGUGCUUCGGUUCGAGGGCGUGCUAUGUUGAUAGGGCCGUAGUAGAGCUGCCGGUGCCGCUUGUUGCCUUAAGGCUGCCGCCAGCAAGCUUUGCGCUGCCGUUCGCCUAGCGCCGCCCGCACCGUCGUCUGCCUAUCGCCGUCGUCGUCCACCCAAUCCACCCCAAGAACACCACCAGUAGGUGCCCAUGGUCUAGGCAAGUUUAGUGGUGCGGUCCCCAUUGUCGGAGACCUCGCCAGCGACGAGCCGCUGCGAUUACCCACCGGCUGGUCCUCAGUCAAGACCGGGCUUGGGUCUGUUUACCCGGGGGGCCCCGUGUCAGCGUGUGGGGGUAGGCUGUGGGUGAGUAAGAAAAGUCCAAAGAGAGGGGGUUCGGGAUAAUGUUAGUUUUAAUUUUUAGAAAAUAGAUUUAAUUCCUAUUUUCAUAUUUAAAUCAUUAUACACAACAUGAUCUAUUGUGCAUAGCUGGUGAUGAGGUAUCUCCUACAGGAUGUAAAUCAGUCCGGAUCGCCGCAAUUCUCGGUUAUGAAUGCACUUGAUCAUCGCUUAAGCAUUGUAGAAUAAUCAAGUUGAAUAUAAUGUUUUUCCUGGAAUUAAUAUGUUGUAUGACUUAGUUUCAUUUGUUUGCUUAAAAAUGUUUUAAUUCACCUAAAACGGUUAGGCAAGAACUAAUAUGAAAUAAAAUGAUAAAAGUAAGGUCCCACUAAUAGUAAGCUUUUUCGUAAAAUGUGAAUCAGCCAGUACACCAUAAAGCUAUCAUACAAUAUUUUUUUAUUAACCUUCCUAUAUUGGUUUGUCGGGUCAGUCUUGUUGAAUACCCUCGUACUCAAGGGAUCCCUUGUUGUUGUUUUCAGAAGCACAGCAGGGGACAACCAAAGAAGAAGUUCCGAAGAACUAGGGUAUCUAAAAGUCUCAUAAUACCCUAGAAUAAAACCUAGUUGUAUAAUUACGUUUUCUUAGACUAGUUUUAUGUUUAAAACUCCUAGCAAUGGUCUAUUAUGGCACUGUUAAGUUUAUUUCAAUCUACAGUUUGUAAUAAUUCGUACCUUCUGUAUGUAUGUAAAAAUGUAAUAUUUAUAGAUGCUUUCCCUUCGUGGAAGCGAUCCUAAUGUAUGGCUAUGAAACACGUUGUGGAUGUUUUGAGGUGUCCUAUGGACACUCAACGGACUACCGGACUUACUGUUUUAAGUGUGUUUCGUAUAAUUGCUAUUCCGACAGCGAUUAGGCACACUUAAGCCAAUUUAACUCGGACGGUUCCGCCAUACUCAACAAGAGAGCAAUGACGAAGAUGAUGAAGAGUUGGUCAAGAACGAGAGGAGAAGAAGAGGUGAGUGCUUCAACUGUGGCAACUGUGGCAAGAAAGGGCAUCGUGCAUGGGACUACUGGAGUCUACGAAGGUACUCAGAAGGAAACGUGGCUACAACCAAAAAAAGUUAUCCUGAGUGGGUGGCUAAGCGAAGAAGAGUGGGAUGGUGUGGCAGCAGCCACAAUUGAAGAUGAUGGAACUUACUUCGUGGAAGACUUGACAGAAGGUGAAACUCCAUCAAAUAGCGUUGAAGAAAAGGAAGAAGAGUGGGAUGCAGAAGGUGACUUCUCCAUAGAGGUGAGAGAUCCGGAUACUUUAGAAGGAUUCAUAGUAUUUGGAUAUGAUAAUGAUGAAGAUUGAGAGGCUCUAAGCGAUGAGGAAGAAGAUAUUAAAAAGCGAGCACAUGACGCUAACUUUUGGACAUGGGCGUUCUUCCUCAUUGUUUCUAUGGUACAUCAUCAUGUGUCGCAGUUUCAGGAGGCAAAUAGAUGUGCUUAUACAGGUGCCACGACUGGCACGACACAUGUGUAGUGUGUUUCAGUUCGAAUGUUCGAUGAUUCUCCACAUCCCCAUUUUGGCUGCGUCAAAUUGAGGAGCAUGCUUCAGCUUCGAAAUACAUGAGACCCACAAUAUUUGUUAGCUAAGCUUUCUCGUUUUUAAUUUGCUCCCUGGACUUCACCGUCUGUAUUUCCAAUGACAAGCCUGCCAUCCUGGUGAACUCGCAUUUGGGCAUUUGGCAACUUAAUUUUCGUCAGAAAUUUUAUUUUCGGUAAUUCUCCAACACCUCCAGGUCAACGUGCCUUUGGCAAAGAGUAUCAAGUUUAGUUACUCUGAGCUUAGGAUCCAGUCUCAGAUCUGAAAUCUUUCCCUUUUUCUUUCUCUUUUGUUUUGUCCCUGGAUUUGUUGUCUUUGUGUCCGCGUGGUAGUCGUACUCGUACGUGGGCUGAGAUGGGCACAUAGGGACUACAUGGGCCAAAGUAGCGCCUCUUUUCUAGCUUAAGGGCCGGCCUGAAGCUCAGACUGCCCUUGGGCCUUUGGCGAGCAGGUGUUAAGUAGCCUAGUUUUGUAUUUUUUAUUUAAUUCUUUUCAUAAGAAUCCAUUAUUUCAUUCCAGUAAGUCUAGUGGAAAAAUGGUAUUGCUACAUACCGAAUAAGAACCACUACUUGUUUGUGGUGAUGAAAAAUCCUUGCUACAAGUCUCACACAAUUCAAAGAGUAUAAAUAAACUUGCUUCUUUCUCUUCAUUCAUAAAAACCUAAGGGUGCGUUUGGUUCGAGGGACGAAGUGGGACGGGACGGGACGAUCCCACUUCGUCCCGUGUUUGGUUUGGAGACAGGUGGGAUGGGGACAUCCCUAUGAGGGAAUAUACCCUCCAGAUGCGGGAUGCCCCCAUCCCACCAAAACGAGCGGACGGGGGCAUCCCACUUCGCCCCCGUCACGCGCCGUUUGCGCGGGUGAGCUCCGGGCGAGCGCAGCCGGCGCGGGCGGGAGCUCCGGCGCGGCCGGCGCGGGCGGGCGCGGCCGGGAGCUCCGCCGCCGCCGCCGGCGCGGGCGGGCGCGGCCGGGAGCUCCGCCGCGGCCGGCGCGGGCGGGCGCGCCCGGCGCGGGCGGGAGCUCCGGCGCGGGCGGACGCUCCGCCGCGGCCGGCGCGGGCGGGCGCGGCCGGCGCGGGCGAGCGCGGCCGGCGCGGGCGGACGCGGCCGGGGCGCGACGUCGGCGGGCAUGGAGCAGGGGAGGCGGGGUGGAGCAGGGGCGGCGGCGGCGGCGGCUCUGGGGCGGCUGGGGCCCUCGGCCGGUGGGGGCGAGCGCCCUGGGCGGCGCGGUCGGGGCCCGACGUCGGCGGGGGCGAGGUCCCGAGCUGCGGGAGAGGACCGGAGGAGGCCGGCGGGAGAAGAUAAGGCCGGUGGGAGAAGAUAAGGAGAAGAUAGGGAGGAAGAAGAAGACGUUGUUAGUAUGACGAGUGGGCCCCACAAACGGUGUCUAACGGAAGAAGAAAACGGUGCUCAUCCCGUCUGUCGCAAUCUCUCCAACCAAACAAAAAAUUAGGACGACCCCAUCCCAUUCAACCAAACAAGAAAUGGGAUCAUCCCAUCCCGAAAAACUGGGACGGGAUCGUCCCGUUCUACAUUGUCUCCCAACCAAACGCACCCUAAGAUACAAAGAUCAUAUAGUGUGCCGUGAGCAAGGUUAGUUCAUAGAUGCAAGAGAGCAUGAUAGAAAGGUUAAAGGCACGUUUGGUUUGCUUGCAAAAGGUACCCUGCCAAAUGCGGAUGCGGCCGCACUGAUUUGGCUGCCACUUGGUUUUACUGGCAGUGUGGUGGCAUGCCAAACUAUGUGUGUCCGCAUUGGUAUUGCGCGCGGUUCAUUUCCCCCUCCCAUGGGUUGGCACAUUAGGGGCAUAGGAAUCGACCGUCCACGUGUGGGCGUGCCUAUGGUUAGCAAGGUGACGCCGUGUCAAAAUCAAAUACGUCCUAAGAACAGCCAAGGAAAUUAUGAUGUAGUGAUAUAAUAAGUAUGUUAUUAAUCUAGGGUUCACGAUAAUCUGGCAGAUAAUCAUGGAUCAGUGACAAUAUUAUUACUCAAUUGUUUAGAAAUAAAAUAAUAUUAUUGAUAAUAAUCUAUGUAUGAUGGUGUUAAAGAAGUAUAAUUGUUAGUAGAUGUCUACACGAUUACUUCACUGAGAGAGAAAACCCCGGCUGAGGGAGCACAUAGGAGCAAGCAACUGAGCAAGGCAGUAUUCCCGGGCAGGGCUGGCCUUUUCCUACUUGAGCAACCUCUCUUGUUUUUACAUCUGAGCAGCUUCACUUUAUGCAGCAACACCUGCAGGCUACAACCAAAAGCAGCAAGACCUUUCUACCACCUCACACCAUCAUCCCCUUUCUUAUUUGUUUUCCUCUUCUGGACUGGGACCCUCCCUCCUCUCUCUAUCAUCACCCUCCUUCCUCUGGAAGGCAAAAAAACCUCUCUCCCCCAGCACUCUCCUCCCGGCCGCCACCAUGUCAGGCCUCUACAGCCAGGGCUUCUCCCCUGCAAGAACCCUCUCCCCCCAGAUUAGGAGCAACCCCGAUGCUGACAGGUACUGCUAAUUUCUGACCCGAUUUCUCUCCACUGAUUCUUGAUCCGAAGAUUGCAACUCCAGCUGCUUCUUUUCCCCCACUUACCCUUGCGAUUGAUUGGUGGCGCGAUUCUUGCUUCGCUUCUUCGCAGCCAGUACUUGGCCGAGCUUCUCGCCGAGCAUCAGAAGCUGGGGCCCUUCAUGCAGGUGCUGCCGAUAUGCAGCCGGCUGCUCAACCAAGGUGAGAUCUUUUUGAUCCCUCGCUUACUGUUGCUUGCGGAUUGGUGAGAAAUCUUUUUGCGGAUGAGUGUCAGACUAUCGGAGAGGGUUCGUCUGCAAUCGAGAUUGGGGAAUCGCUUGGCUCCAAUGCUCGGAUGGCUGCUGAUCUUUUCCGGCAGCUGAUGUGUUGGGGGAGAUAGUAUGUGUGGUGAUGGGAUAGAGUUGGCAAGCCGCCAUUGAUUUUUUUCGUAGCCGGCAUACAAGAACCUUAUUAGUCUUAUUGACCCGAAUACCCGAUUGGGGAUUGCCAAUGAAUUGGCCUUUGAGUGAUGCAGUGACUUUUUUUAUGGUCUUGCUAUAGCAACUUUUGUAGUUUGUUACUUGAUACUGGUUGAUAGAGCAUCUGUAGCUGAAAACAGCGGUCAGCCCAAUAAUUGGGGAAGGUUCAUUUUGGGGAUGACAUCCAUUGUUGAUUGCAUCUUCAUCGCUUGCAUUGUGCAGAGUUAUUAGGUUGGUUGUAUGUCAUACUACUUUGCAAUGCAUUGGAUUUUGAUCAUCUUGUUUAACAAAAAUAAUUUGUUUUCAUUUGGGAAAAUCAUUAGCUAGUAUUUGAGAUGUUUCUUUUAUCUUUCUGUGUGGUGCUUGUGGAUCACCUAGUGCAUCUUCUCUCUAUGCACGAAGGCUGGAGCUUUCCGUAAUUAUCCAUAAAUGUUGAAUACAUAUUUUUAUCAUGCAUGAGGAUUUAUCUCCUCUAAUGUUUUUCAAGCAUGGCCUACAGUUUUACCUAAGUAAAUGGACUGUGCAUACGGCUGGAUUGCACGACCCCGUACAACCAGCACAGGCACUGUUACCUUUUCUGCACUGAGCAGUGGGCUGUGACUUGGUCCGUUGGCCGCAAGCACAGGCCAUACAUCCUGGUGACCUGAUCGUAUGUGUAGCAAAGUCCUUUUCUUAUUAACCACAUAUCCCUUGUAGCCACUUUAACCUUUACAGUUGCCCUUUUUUCAAUUUUCAAAACGGGAAGUGAUCUUUUCCUUUAAUAUGACCUUUUAUAGGGCCAAACUGGCCUUUUUAGAAUGAUAAUUAAAAAUUGUGUAGAGAGAACUUUAGUAUACUGUAAGAUAGCUGGAUUUAGAUAUAAAGACUAGACACCUCUUGCAGAAACUGAACCUUUGGGCUCCCCUCAAAAUGAUUGAGCUGUUAAAGUCAUGCGGUGCUACUUCUGAAAAGGGUUUUUCUCCUUUCAUCUUCAGUAUUAAAAGAAUGAAUAUUUUAUCUUAUUUUAGAUUAGGAUUUUCCUCUGCCUGGUGCAUAUAUGGAUUUUUGACAAAACCCAUCACACUAUCUAUCAAAAAGGAAAGUUGAAGGCACCGACCAGACGGAAGUAUGCAAUUUAGUUGACCACAGAAGUAUAUAUGACACUCUCGAUCGUAUGUCACAUAUUUUUCCGCUUCCACUCUUUUGCUACAUACUGCAAUUGAUUUGAUUACAGCAAGCAUUAACAUUUUGUAGCAAAUUCUUGAACCCUUCCCCAUUCUGACUAGUAGGUUGGCUGAUUCUUUUUCUUUCAUCAUUUGUGUUACUUAGAAAUCAUGCGGGUAUCAAGCAUGGUUCACGACCAUGGAUUCAGCGAUUUUGACAGGCGUCGGUUUAGAAGUCCCAGUCCUAUGUCUUCGCCAAUUGUCCGCCCUAAUCUGCAUGGCAAUGGAUUUGGUCCUUGGAAUGGGAUGCCCCAAGAGGUAGGCAUAAUAUGUUGAUCACUUUAAUAAAGUUCCUCUUUUGACAAGAUUUCUUCAAUAACCAUCUUUUUUAUGUGAUAUUUUUUGGAUUUGCAACUCUAUUUCAGAAUCAGUGAUUAGUUUUUUUAAUAUAACAGAGAUUGGGCUUUCCUCCUCCUGGAACAAGUAUGGACUGGCAAGGAGCACCACCAAGUCCUGGCUCCUAUAUUGUGAAGAAGAUUAUACGCUUGGAAGUUCCCGUUGAUUCCUACCCUAAUGUAUUGCCUCCCACAACCUAUGUAGUUAGUACUGAAUGAUGUUCUAGUUCUAAUAUGUUCCGGUUUCAAAUUUCUCCAGUUCAAUUUUGUGGGGCGCAUUCUAGGUCCUAGAGGUAAUUCUCUAAAGCGGGUGGAAGCUUCAACUGGCUGCCGUGUUUUUAUUAGAGGGAAGGGUUCCAUCAAAGAUACAGAGAAGGUAUCCAAAAUGUUAUAUUUGUUAAUCGCAUCCCACUUAUGUGCUUGUUUAAUUUAUAAUAUCUUAAGUUUAGAAAGGUUUUAUAGCCUGUUGGGUCAUGGAGCUUAUUUGUCAUAUCUAAUGUAAUGUCGCGUCAUGGAACUCUGUGAACUACAUGCAACACUUAAGUUUUAUUUCCUGACUUGUAACCCUAAUGUUAUUCAACUAGUCUUGCCUCUGACCUUUGCUAUCACUGCAAUGGAUCUAAUUUUGGUAUCAUGAUCUUCAAAUUCUCGCCUGACUUGACCAGCAAAACUACAACAUAUAAGGACAGGCACAACUUUUUUUUUUUGGAUUAACCCAUAGGUGCUGUUCAAGGCAGAUCACCUAUGCAUGCUGCCUUGCUCAUAGAUGGCUUGGGACCGAGUGACAGAAUGUCCUGCUCAAGAUCCAAAUGUUCCCAUAGGAGGACUCUGUGAAAGAUCAGCACUAUGAUGACUAAGGGCGUACCUUAAGGAAUGAUUUGUGUGGGGAAUUAUUUUAUUUUCCACUAAGUAAUAUCCUAUUCUUCAUCUGCCAUCACAAUUUUGCAGCCUUUUUUUCUGUAGUGCCGUUGAAGCAUCAUUAGUUUUGCCAUUUUUUAUUUAUGGCAUUAAGUCAAACCAAGGUGUGCUAUAAUUUUUAACAUAGAACUUCAACGGACUCUCCCUUUCUUGCCACAGCCUACUGUGAAAUCGAGCAUUCUUUAGAUUUCUUUUUCCUGGGCUUUGCUGUUUGCCUUUUGUUCAUUGAAUUGGAUGGAAUAUGACAAUUAGAAUUGAGGAAGAAAAAGGGUUGUCCAAAGAAGAGUUUGAAAUCUUCCUUUGUAUUAGCAUGCUGAAUUAUUGUGUCAUGUUUUUUUUAAUUUUAAUGCUAAUAUUUACCUGUAGCUCUGUAGGAAAUUAUGCUCACAGAAUUGCCAGAAACAGUUCCUAACAUGUGGGGUCCCUUUCUACUGGACUAAUUGUUUGCUUUUGCUCUAGAAAGUCCAUAUGUUUUUGUUACAGAUCAUAACAUAUUGUCCAACUCUGUACAUCCUUUUCUCAAACUAACUCUGUACAUCUUGGGUGUUCAAUCCUAGAUGCAUCUGUAUUAUGAAUAUCCAGUAACCCUAUUAGAGCCCUCUGUUGAUGAAGACUUGGAAGAAUAACAUCCAUUUUCUGUUAUUUUCCCUCACUAUCCCAUGACUUAGACAUUCGGUACCUUGUAAAAAUGGUAGCAUCUAGUUAUGUCUUUUGGUCAAAUGUUUUUUUUUCUCGAACACGCAGGAGAGCUGCGUAUCAUUGUAUUAAUAGGAGAAGAACGAGUCAUAUAGAGACCCAAACACACUAGAAUUGGUCAAAUGUGUUGGUAUGAACUCAUGAUAUUCAGUGAUGAAUGUUGUUACAUAUAUCUGGAUAUCAUAUAUUAGUCUUUUUCAGAUUUCUGUGUUUUUCUGCUUGCAGUGGCUAUGUGGUAAUCUUUGGGAAGGCAGUCUUACCUCCUUAACUUAUUAUUGUCAUUACACCAUUAUUGUGAUAAUCAAGAAGUUGUAUUUCUCAUUCUAAUCAUUUAAUCUUUGUUAGUGCAUAUUUAGAACUCAUAUGGUCCUACUGCUUCCAUUUUCUCUCUUCUUCUUAGUUCCCCAAGAAUACACAGUUACACAUAUGUGCUUUUAUUGCUUUAGGAAGAGAAGCUUAAAGGAAAACCUGGCUAUGAACAUCUAAAUGAGCCACUGCAUAUAUUAAUCGAGGCUGAGUUACCAGCGAAUAUCAUUGAUACAAGACUCAGACAGGCACAAGAAGUCAUGGAAGAACUGCUAAAGCCAGUGGUAAGUUAUUCUAAUGUAUAAUAAAAUUCUGCAUUUAUUGGUCCUCAUCUGCCAAAGCUAGGAGUUUGUAGGGGUACUCUUAUUUGAAUUGGCAAAUGCCGUGCAAGAACACAUGAUCUAUGCAUUACUUUAUUUUGAAAUUUGGAUAUUUAUCACUUCCAGUACUUGUAAAACUUCAUUUAGUUGGUAAAUUGCUGUUAAAGGCUAGUGUCAAACUUUGCAUCACUUUGUAUCCAGUGACUAAUUGCAGCUAAAACAAACCCUACAUUGUUCUGUUUUAUGUAUCUUUGCAAUACAAUGUUUUCUUCAAAAAAAAAGUCUACAAUGAAAAGAAAUGUAUAUCCCAAAACUUGAAGGCGUUGUAGUGCAUCCAUUCAGUGGAAAUUUUCUCAAAAUACAAAACAUUCACACUUUUUUUCGGAAAAAAUUUCAACUGCAAUUAAAUCAUAAUAUUCCUGAAGUAAAGAUAAGUCACAUUUUGGGAUAUAUCUAUAUGUGUCACACCCGGUUUUAAAACAAAACCAAGUGCUACCUAUAUCUGUGCUAGAAUCAAGUUUCAUACAUAUAAUGACAUCAUCAGUGAAUAACAGUAACAAUAUCACGUAAAGGAAUAUAAAUAAUGACUUACGAGUCUAUCAGAGAUAUACAGCUUAAUCCUGGAAACGAAGGCUCCAAACUUCACAGGCAAUCGACUGGGGUUCGCGUACGCCUAGAACUCAGCAUCAUCUUCAGCAAACUUCAUAGCAACCCCUUCUUCUGAGCGGCGGUUAGCAAGGGUGAGUACACUUAUGGUUGGUACUUAGCAAGGCCACAAGAAAUAAUCAGAAUAACGAUUUAAGUCCAUCUUCAAGUUUAUUAAUCAUGUGAAGGUCCAGGCGCUCUUGAUCGUGAGCACGGCUGAUAUAUCAGUUUUACACUCUGUAGAGGUUAUACACUUUUACCACAAGCCGCGUAAGUUCAGAAGAACUUUGGACCCAACCAUGCAAUGCGAAAGUAGGCACUUAUCACACUACCGAGGUGUGACCGCAUAGGGACGCUACGAGGCCUUUAAAAAAAUUCCCUAAUAAGUGGUAACCCGCUAAGGUUUUAGUGUCUGGCGUGCGUAAACCUCCCUAAUGGGCAUAGUGUCUUAACAAAGCCCACUUCCCAAGAGGACAUGGCUAUACAACGACUCAGUCCCCCCUCUUGCCUUUUCGGUAAGAUUACCCCAAAAUAGAGUCUCUAAUUAAUUAGCCAAGACCAGAGCCAUGUAGUUCUCGUGGUUGCACUAUUUUCUUGGGUGGUCGUUCCAUGUUCCAAUUAAUACAUGGUAUUCUUGUAAAAUAAGCAUAGAUAGAAGGAUGGUUAGAGACACUUGCCUUUCUCCAAAGAAAAGUUACUCUUACUGCUCUUCAGCUCAUGCUUUCUUGAAGCUCUUAAUCUUCAAACCUUUCGAACAUCAAUCCUUCUACUCGAAGCAAUCAUUGGGCACAACCAUACAAAGCAAACAAACAAGUAUAACUAAGAACAAUACACCAAUUAAGAAAGGCUUUAAAAGAGCGUAGAAAAGGGUAGGGCUCGAUUCUAUGGUCACUCGAACGCAAGAAACGCUGGGAACGGAACUAUGGUUGACAAGGCAAAACUAUCGAGAGGUUUGAUUUAUAAAAGAAAUAAAAAGACUAUAUGCUUGAUCCAUUUUAAUUAAAUAAAAUCAUGCACAUAGGUUAUUUUAGAGAAAUACCCUAUUUGGAAUUAUCAGAAAAUAAGGUUGAACGUUGACAACGUGAUAAACUUGAUCAGAUUUUAUUUAUAAAUAUUCAAGUAGAAGUUAUGCCAAUUUAACAAUUAACUUUAGAAACACAGAGCAUAUGUAAAAGACAUAAUCAAACAACUUUUUAUUUCGUGUUCAACUAAACAUAUUAAUAUUGAAAAAGCAUUUAUAAUAUCAUUAAGCAUAUAAACUUUAUUCAUGAAAACCGAUGUAUAACACUAGAUAACUUUUAUUUAGAAAAGCUAGUUAUAAAUAGAAAUUAAUCAAUUAAACCUUAAUUUAUGAAAAACGGGAUAGAACCUAACCAACUUUUAUUUAGAAAACUAAUUGAAUAAGAAUUAGUCAAGUUCACAUUUAAUUUUGAUGUUAAAAACAAGCAACAAGUAAUACACACUGCUAACGCAUAAGGUAAGGUUAAACGAAUAAGAACAACAAAAACAGACUACUCUAGAGCGUAGAAGGAAAGCGUAAACUAUGGUUUAGGAAAGGCUAGUCUACAAAGAGAUCAACUAAGUUGCAGGGACAACAAACUAGCAAAAGCUAAACUGAACUAGUCGGUAGAGAAACGAACUAAUAACAAGAUUGGCUCUAAAGAGAUGGCUGCGAAAGGUUUGGGCACAAAGAACUAAAAGAACAAAGGUGGCUCACAAAGAGACAACUGAGAUAAGACAGCUAUGAAUUGGAUCCUACAAACAUGAUUCUUAGAGGAAUAGGAAACAAACAUUAUAAGACUACUAAGCAGAAUAGAAACUCUAAGAUAAACUAUUUGGCUCACUAAAACGCACAAACUAUGCUUGAAAAGGAAAGGCCUGGUUAGAUUUAUAAAAGAAACAGGGUCCGAGCUGGGGCUGGGAAGAUCUAAAGCUUUACAGAAGACUUGAUUUACAAAAGAGACUGAGCUAACGCUGACAAAGAACAGCUAUCAAACUAUUCGCAUUUAUGAGAGCACAAAAGACUAUAAGCUAGGUUUAUUUUAAUUAGCAAAAUAUAUGUAAAGGAUAUUUCGGAAAGAAAAUACCCUAAGUUGGAAUUAACUAAGUUGGAAUUAAUGCAAGUUAUACUUUAUUUGCAAAGAUCGAGGUAAAUCCUAAUCAAGUUUUAUUCAUAAAUGUUCAUAUAUAAAUUAUACCAAUUACACACUUAACUUUAGAAAAGUGAAAACAGCUAAUCGAUUUAAUACAUGUUGUGUUGGGCUAAACAAAACUUAUUUAGAAAACAUAUUCAUAUUGGCAUUAGUCAUUUUAUCAAUCAUUAAGAAAAACCAAGUUAUAACUUAACCAUAUUUAAUUCUAAAUAUUGGGGUAUAAAUUAUAUCAUUUAAAUAUUUAACUUUAGAAAAGGCUAAACUAUGUGAAACAUCUAAGCGUAUACUUUAUGAUUCUAGUGGAUUAAAUUGUUAUUGAAAACAUAUUCACGUUGGUAUUAAUCAAGUUAAUUUAUUUAUAAAAAAAACGGAUGUAAAAGCCUAGUCAACUUUUAUUUAGAAAAGUUGAUUCGAUACUGAGCAUUAAUCAAAUUAAUAUUAGUUUAUGAAAAAUCGAUAUAUAUAUAUAUAUAUAUUAGCUUUUAUUUAGAAAAGCAUAUGAUGCAAGCAUUAAUCAAAUUAACAUUUAAUUAUGAAAGCGAGGUAUAACGCUAAGUAGCUUUUAUUUAAAGAAGACAUGUUUAUCAGGUAUUAAUCAAAUUAAAUUUGAAUUCAUUUUCAAAACAUGCAUGAUGGAAAACAUCACCACUAACAUGUAAUUUAUGUUAUCAUGAACCUAACGCAACUUGGACGGAUAUAAACGGUGCUGAAACGAAGAAGGGAUAGGUUAAACAAGGUUUAAGGGAUCUAGAUGUGAUUAACCGUAGAUCUGGAGGGCUGACAAGGAAGAUAGACAAGACACAUGGAAUAGUGCUCGCCAUUAGGUCAAAGCAUAGGGUUAGAUCUGUUAAAGUGCUCAUAUUGGAUUGGCUUAAAGGAAACUAAACUUUCCGGGUGCUUUCUAUAAAAUUGGCAAGAUACAAGAGAUUCGACCUAAAAUUGUAUAUUAGCUCGAGGGGCUAUCUGCAAAAAGCUCAAAGAGUUGAUAGCCAUGGCGGAUGGCCUCUGGCUGAUUCAAAUCGACGGUGGUCCGACGGGGUAGGGUAGGGAUGAAGAGGCGCAGGAGGUACGGGAGGUCACGGUUGACUCACAGGGAUGCUCACCGGUGACGGGGAGGUGGUUCAGCGGCCGAGAAAUUCUGACGGCGGAUGGCGAAGAAGCUCGGCGGCGGCUCGGGUCUUCAUGUGUGCGCGGUGCUUCGAUAGGGCAUUGGCAAUGAGGACUAGUGGCGCAGCUGCGCCUCGACAUCGUCGAGCCCCUAGGGGUGCUGGCUUGCUCCGGCGGGCGUCCCUGGCGGUGAAUCGGGCGAACAAGGCUGACGGCGCUCUACUUCCAGGCGGCUCGCUCGACGGCGGGAGCGUGGCACAAAGGUGAGGGUGCAAGGCAAGGCAGCAGGGGCGUGCAGGGUCAGGCGGUGUGUUUUAUAGGAGCACGGAGCAGGCCCCACGGCUUGGUGCGCACGCCAAGGCCGGCGGCGGUAUGCUGCCCAGCGGUCGUAGGAGCUGAGGCUGUUGGCCCAGAUGGGCCUCGGCUAGGCCGAGCUGGCUGGGCUGGGCUCGCAGGCUCGGCCCAAAGGGCAGGGGGUCUACCUGCAGGGAGAGAGGAGGAUUGGUAUGGGUUUGGGUAGGAUAGCGGGUUGGGUUUGGUUUGGUUGGAUCUAGCCUGACAAGGAUUUAGGGUUUUGUUUUAUUUUCCAAAUAUAAUUUUCAGUGCGAAAACUAAUCCAGAAUAUUCUAGAUAAUGUUUUUAGAGCACAAAAAAAUCAGGAAAAUCCUAAAAAAUCCAGGAAAAAUCUCGGAGAUAGUUUGGGGCAUGAGGAGUUCAAAUGAACUAUUUUGAGCUUGUGAAAAAGAUUCUAGAGCCUUAUAAUAAAUAGAUUUAGCUCUAGGAAAAAUGAGAACAACUCCUAGAAAGAGCUGGAAAAUCAGAAGGGUCUGGACAUCGUCUAAAUGCAUAUUAAAACCUUUUGCACUCAAGAAACACCAAGAUGCAUCGGCAUGAAUACAACACACACAGAACAACACUAUUUAAUUUAGAAAAACAACCCAUUGUUCUUCCUAUACUACAUUUCCUGUCAAGGAAAUAAAUGUUGGAAAAAUUUUAAAAUUAUGAGAAAAUCAUUGUUUAAUUAUUCUUUUUAAUCACAUCCUGAAAUCCAAAAAUUUCAGGGUGUGACAAUAUGGUUGUGUAUAUUUGGAUUGGACAUACGUUGCUUAAAUGCAUGUAUCUGCCUAAGGAUAUUAUGGUGUCAAAGGUACAGAGAACAUGUCAAAUACCACUUAAUUAUGUUUGGCUUGUGGGGUAUUAAUAGGUUCAGUAGAGAACACAUGGCUAUUCGCUUGAGAGAGCCCAAGAAGAAAUGGCAUGCUAAAAUCUGAUGUCGUUGAUUUACUUGGUUCUUAUAUUAUUUUAUAAGCUAGUUUUUUUUGCUGUGAGCCACCUGCUGUUUGUUCUUUAGGAGCAAUUAUUGCCUUUUCGCUCAAUGUUUCUGUAAAUAGGUUCCACUUCUCAUGCAUUGUAAUGUGCAUAUAUUGUAUUUUCCUUAUACUUUACUCCUAUAACUUAUUUAGAAAAUCCGUAUAGUUAUGAGUGUCUUCCAAUUUCCAUAUACUCCUUAUAUUCAGAACUAAAUAGUUAUUUUCCUUGUAUGUAGGACGAGUCACAAGAUUUCUACAAAAGGCAACAGCUGAGGGAACUGGCCAUGCUAAACUCAACUCUGAGAGAAGAUAGUCCUCAUCCUGGAAGCGUCUCUCCUUUCAGUAACGGUGGCAUGAAACGCGCAAAACCGAGUCAGUAGAGAAGCUGCUUCUCCAUCCUUCAGUCCUUCUUGUUGCAGGCGUGCAUCAUCAACAAGGGGCACUUGAGCCUGCGCUGCGUGGGUGCUUGUGUAAGAAAAGGUAUGCGUUUGCUGGAUGGUUAGUCUGGUAUCAAGCGCAUUUUCUCCUUCGGAUAAGGAGAAAUCAUGGUUGUUGAACCGUCUUGAUCUUUUUGUGGAUCGAGGCAUGUUGUUGUAACUUGUAAGGUCAUGGACAUUCAUUUUAUUCGUUAUUGACUGUUUAACCCUAAGUAGCUUGUGAUGCUGAGGAUAGGUGGUUUCAGGGGAGACUAGGUAAACCUGACUGUUUAAUUAGCUUGUAUUAGUCCCCUGUUACAUUAUGGAGUUGCAAAAAAAAACGAAGAUCAUGGUGCACUCCACUUUAUGAUAGUUUGAUGAUGGAAGCUUUGAAUGAACCAUGUGAACUCAAAAUGCAUUGUACUCGCAUAGUAUGCGAAUUUGGUUACAGUAUAAAUGGGAUCCAUGGGCAUUCAAGUAAUGUGGAUUUUGAAACAAACAAACGACUAGGUGUCAUUCUACAAAUUAAAUUUGGGUUGUUAAGUUGAUAUGCAUCUUUUGACCAGGAUAAGUUGGUGUGUAUCUUUACUUGCCCAUGCAGUGCUCCCUUCAGUCCCACAAAAAAUGGCAGGGGCUUUCUUUAAAUUUUUCUUCCUUUGUAUUUGAUCUUUCUUCUUUAGUGAUAUGAUGCGCUACUCUCUUGUAUAUUUGAUAAAAAGUAAAUGAUGUUUUGGUCAUUGAGAUGGUUUUCCAAAUACAACUUUGGCUAAAAUGUUUGUUGUUGGCAUGUAUAUGUUUAUAAAUUAAAGCAUAGCAAACUAUAUUAUGUCAAGGAAAUCUACUUACUCUGCAAUCUACUUAUUAUGUCAGAUGAUUAUCGCGGAGUAUCAAAAGAGAAGGGAGGGAGGGAGUAAUUACUGUAGUAGAAAAGUUCAAUCGCCGUGAUAGUCAUCUGACACAUGGGUACAAUUACAAAUGAAGUGACGACUGACGAGGUGUUAACCGAAGGACAGGAGGUAGUCCCAACCCGGUGCCGUCCUCGGAAUGCGUGAUGACAGCAUCCGCAGCACCUACAGGAAAAAAGGACCUACGGGCCUACCAUCACGCCUUCUCCGUUGUCGGCGGCGGCGGCGGCAGCAGCGGCGGCCGUCGGCGUGUCGGGGACUACUAGCUUCGCCGUGGUAGGGAAUAGGGACCCUUUGGUUUGGCGGCAGUUGGUGCCAGGACAAAACAGAGAAAGCUGUGCAACCUGCCGAAGGCGCCGUUCGUGCCCGUGGUUUCCGACCGACUCGUCCUUUUCUUUUCUUUUUUGUUUUGGAUACGCCGACUCGUCCAAGUUGGCCUCUUGAUAUUUCCUGUUUCGUGCUAGGCAUGGAUAAGGCAACGUCACGAGUCCCCGACCGUGCCCACGGGACGACGGGUGAGGUGAUGCAGCCGGUAGCGGAGAAGAGCUAUCCCACCACUCCAUGCAUGCAAAUAAUAUAUUUAUGGCUCAACCGCCACCACCGUACAGUCACCAGGUUCGAACCCGCAUGAGCCCCCCCUACCCGUGGAGAGAAGAUACCAGCAGGAGGAUGAAGAGAAAGAGGAAAGAGGAAAGGAUAGGAAGAAGACAAGGAAGAAGAAAAGAGAGAAGCCUUUGUAGUUUGUAGAAUUACUAUGUUCAUAUGGUAUGAUCAUAUAAAUUCGUGAGAUAGAAAAAAAGUUACAUGGGUGCUCCAAAACAACGUUCCAAUCAGUCAUGAUGCUAUCCCUUAGAAAGUUUGAAAAGAGAGGAACUAAAGAGUGCUCAGAGCAAGGCUUCGGCUCCUUCUAGCUCUUGCGAACCGGUAAAACAUAGAUCAGUAUCUCUCAUUUCGGGCAAACCGGUAAAAAAGAUUAUCUUUCAUUUUGGGGCAACGACUUUUGUCCAAAUUUUCGGGUCCGCCUACCACCUGGUAACUGUUCCGUUCUCACUUUCUUCGCUGCGAGCGUUGGCACGCAACGACAUUCUAGAUGCGGAGGUAGAUUCUUUGGAUACCGGUGUCAGGGAGCGUGAGCUGACAGAAAGUGUAAGCCUGCACGUGCGCAGGUUAACCGCUCGACCACACACGCCAGGAUCACAUGUACAGUGCCAAGUCCAAAACAACCCUGCCACCAAACCCUGCGAGAGGAUUUCUCCAACAAUAAAAACCACAACAAGGUUGGUGGCACUGGCAACAAAUCUUCGCAAUCUCCACGGCAAACAACCUUGUCCGGAUCGAAAGAACGAAAAAAAAUUGUCAACAAAUAUUAUUUAUCACACAUCGAAGGGUUCAUCAGGUUUUACAGAUCAGUUCAUCACGCUGCUGCGCUUUCUAACAUCAUCAGCAGCAGCAGACAGCAGAGCAGCGUAUGUACAGCAUCAUCAUCAGUUCAUGAAUCAGAGAAGUUACAGAGAGAUUCUUCACAUUAGUAUCAUCGAGAAUCAUCAAGGAUUUCAGAUUGGUACCCAAUGGAACGGUGGGGGGGGGGGGGG